Molecule: long non-coding RNA, 64277 nt
Filed under: Durio zibethinus
Lineage: Eukaryota; Viridiplantae; Streptophyta; Magnoliopsida; Malvales; Malvaceae
Description: long non-coding RNA (DZIB_LNC000356)
Source: RNAcentral
CCUUUCGGUACGGCCACUAAAGAAUUGCUUAUACACUAAACAGCUGCUUAUAUACGCUUACUAAAAGACUGACUUUCAUUCAUUCAUUAGGCCAGCGUGAAACUAAGAAAGAAAGAUGUGCCUAAGGCGGCAUGCAAGCAAACUGUGCACGCUAAGAGAAAAGGAGAGAUGUUCGCAAUUACUACCACAAGAGAGCCGCCCCCCUACCCUAUCUCUAAAGGGGCCCGUCACUUCGUUCGUACCUUCUUGGCUUAGACUUCCAACUGAACUUACUUUAUGGCCUUACCGCCCGCCGCUAGCAGAAGCUAAGCGCUUGAAAAGCGCGCUAAGAAACGUUCUUUCUGUCGGCCUUUCUGUGCAACAGUCCACCAAUAGCGGAAGAGAGGGUUACCGUACAUACAAGACUCUUCCAGUUCUUACGUAAGCUUUUUCUUACCAGUCAAGUAGUACAACAGCUGUAUCUUAUCUUAUAGCCCGGCGCGGCGGGUCGCCUUUUGAAUUCAGUAGAUAGAACCAUUGAAUUUCUAUGUUUACCAGCAUUUAUUUUUUGGUGCAAAAAAGGAGCUGUUAUAACUUAGCAACUAGUACGUAAAACAAAACGACAAGCUGUAUCCUCCUGCAGCAGUGUUUUCACAAAAGAGGGAGGUUCUUGAAACAAAACAUGAAAGACCUCGUUACACGUCGCACUAUCACUAUUACAUAAAGUUUUGCUUUCGAAACAUAGUGGGAUUGUAAUAGAUCGAAUUUGAAUAUUUGAAUCCAAUUCAAAAUUUAAGAUUUAAAAUUUAUUUUAAAUUUCAUUAAAAAGUUUUUUAAUUUAAAUUCAAUUAAAGAUAAAAAUUAAAUUAUUUAAAUUUAUUUAAUUAGAUUCGAUUAAUAUAUAAAAAUAAAUUUAAUUUUUAUAUUUAAUAAAUAUUUGAUAAUUUUUAUUCAAAUUUAAAUUUAAAUUUUAAAUAUUUAUUUAAUUAAAAUAAUAAAAUAUAUUUAAAUAUAAAAAUUAAAUUAAAUUCAUAAACUAUUUAAAUUAAACAUAAAAAUAUUUAAAUAUAAUUUAAUCAAUAAAUUAAAUUUUUAAUUUUAAUUUAAUAAUAAUUAAAUUAAAUUUAAAUAAUUUAUAAAUAUUAAUAUAUCAUUUAAAAGCCGAGGGCGAGAGCGUAUCCUUACAUCUAUUGCCUUCCCAGCAUUAGUAAAUAGAAAUGAUAUGACGAUUGAACUGAAUAAUUUUUUGUGGGAAUGGUUGGGCCAUUUCUCUGUUGUCUAAAAUGUUUGGUUCCGUAUGGAAAAUGUACACUGAAAUUCGUACACUUUGUGGGGUUGCGUAGGCCUAAGAGCAUCCUAGAAAGAAUGAAAAAAAAAAAAAAAAAAAAAAAAACCGAUCCAUGAGGACUGAGGUCCCCUUCCAUGUGGUGUUUACUUUUAUGGAGGUGAUCAAUGCCACGCUUUAUGUUGUAGUGUACCAACAACUCAAUAAUUUUGUUUCUCAAUUAUUGCAUGAAUUUGCCAAGACCGAAAACGCCCUGCCUUUGUCUCUCCAAUUUGAUUUACUUCUUUUUCUUGGACACUAUUUUUUAAAAAUAUAAAGAUUUUUAUGUGAUAUAUAUAUAUCGAUGAUAUAUUUAUAUUUUUAAAAUAUUAAAUAAAUAUAAAAAAUAAUUAAAUUUUAUAGUUUAAGAAUUCAUAAAAUAUGAUAUAAUAUUAAGUCUUAAAAAGAUAGAAUUUAAAAAAAUUAAUAUAUAAUUUUUAAGAUUAAAUCUAUGUUUAGAUGGUUUUACUUUAUAAUAUCAUAUUAUAGUAAAAAUUAAAAAAAUUUUAGAAUAAUUAAAAAGAUAAAAAAUAAUUUCAAAAUUUUUUAAGUCUUCUUAAUUAUAAAGGUAAUUCAUUAAAAAUCUUUUUUAAAAAAAGUUUUACAAGAAAAACAAAAAAAGAUAAAUAUUUUUCAUAGAUAAAAGAAGAAUAUGAUAUUAUUAAACAAAUAAAAUCAAAUCUUAAAUUUAUACCUAAAAUAUAUCUUCUAAAAUCUGGAGAAUUAUUUAUUGUUGAAAUAGAUGCAUCAGACCGACAUUGAAGAUGUAUACUUAAAUCAAAUAUACAUAAUCAAGAAUUAAUUUGUGGUUAUAAUUCGAAAAAAUUUAAACCUAAUGAGAUAAAAUAUAUUAUUUAUGAAAAGGAAUUACUAACAAUAAAAAAUAUAGUAAUAAAAUUUCAUAUUUAUUCAACACCUAAAAAUUUUAUUAUUAGAAUUGAUAAUUAAGCAGUUAAAAAUUUCUUAAAAAAAUAAGAAUUAGAAACUAAUCCUAAAAGAAUUAGAUGAUAUAAUUUUUUAUGUCAGUAUAAUUUUUAUAAUUUUUUUAUUGAAUUUAUUAAAAAAUUUAAUAAUAUUUUUGUUGAUUUUUUAAACAGUUCAGAUGGAUAGAGACAAAAAAUCUCUUGAGCAACAAAAACAUAUCACCAUUCAAAAAGAGCAAUUUAAACAAAAAAUUUCUUUUCAAAAUCUUAAUUCAAAAUUAUCUUAUCCUACUCGUUUUAAACUGCUAAUGUUUAUACUAAUCCAAGAUACUUUUAUUCUUCUCUUAGCAUCUUCUUAUACUCUUUCUCUCCUUUACAUCUCUCUCACACCUACCAAACCAUAGUAGAGCUUUUUUUUUUUUUUUUGGGAGUUGGGGAAGGGAUUCGAUUUUUUUUUUUGAAUAAAUUAUGUAUCGAUUUAGUCAAACGUUAUUAUAAGAAAUUUGAAGUGCAUCUUUCCCUACCAAAUUAGUUUUUCUUAUAUACAUAAGCUCAUACUCCAUUUUGAUUUCUUCUCUCUCAACUUAUUAUUCAAAGAAAAGAAGAAUUAAUCUUCUCAAAUCAAUAGAUUUUAUCUAUGGAGUUAUCAAACACAAAGCCUCACGUUGCCUUGCUAUCUUUCCCUGUUCACUUUACUCCUACGGUUGAGCUAGGGAAACGCCUUGUAACUUGCCAAAACGUCAAAGUAACAAUCUUCGUCACUUCUUUUCUUGAAUCUGCAGCAUCAAUAUCACGGAUGGUCCAAUCUGCUCAGAGUGCAAACCUCUACGAUGUCAUCCAACUGCCGCCAGCAGACAUUUCUGGCCUUAUUAGCUCCGGCAAGAUGGAACUCUUGUCGGUUUCAUCCGUGGUUCGUUUUAGCAAACCAGCUUUCCGGUCUGCCAUAUCUGCUUUGGAGACUCCUUUAACUGCUCUAAUUGUUUAUGUUUAUGCAGUUAAUUGUUUAGUGAUUGCUGAUGAGCUUAAGGUUCCUAAAUUUGUUUACCUAAGCUUGCAUGCCUGGUAUCUUGCCCUAUUUUUAUACACUCCAAUAUUAGUUAAGAAGGUCGGAGGAGAGUUUGGAGAUGAUCAGAAACAACCAUUUGUUCUUCCAGGUUGCACCCCAGUUCGACCAGAAGAUAUGCCAGAUCCUAUAUUGGUCCAAACCAAAAAUAGUUACCUUGAGUUCAUACGUAUAGCUAUAUAUGGAGAUUCCAAAGGCUGAUGGUAUUUUGGUGAACACAUGGGAGGAGUUGCAGCCUACAACCCUAGCAGCUCUGAGGGAUGAUAAGCUCUUGGGAAGUAUUGCCAAGGCACCAAUUUUCCCCAUCGGCCCAAUUACUUCAGAGGGAGCAGUCGGAUCAAAGAGCGAGCUGUUCGAGAGGAUGGACAAGCAACCAAAACAAUCUGUGCUUUACAUAUCUUUUGGAAGCAUAGGAGUGCUAUCACCUGAGCAAAUGACAGAAUUAGCUUGGGGUUUAGAGUUGAGCCAACAAAGGUUUAUUUGGGUAGUGCGUCCACCUAAAACAAAAACAGAUAUUGGGUUUGUUCCCAAGUUUGGGGACAGUAAUAAUAUGUCCAGUUACUUAGCAGAAGGGUUCAUGACUCGGACCCAGGAGAGGGGGCUAGUGAUUCCACAAUGGGCUCCGCAGGUGGAAAUCUUGAGCCAUAAAUCAUGUGGGGGAUUUUUCACACAUUGUGGGUGGAAUUCAGCUAUAGAAUGUAUCACUAAUGGAUUGCCAAUGAUCGCUUGGCCUCUUUAUGCUGAACAAAGAAUGAAUUCUACAAUGUUAACAGAGGAACUCGGCAUAGCUGUUCGAUCCAGAACAAUACCAUCCAAGGGUGUUGUGGGGAGGGAGGAGAUUGAGACAAUGAUUAAGAAAAUAUUUGUCGAUGAAGAAGGGCGAAAAAUAAGAGGCAGACUCAAAGACUUAAAACUUAGUGCAGAGAAAGCUUGGACCAAGGGUGGUUCGUCGUACAAUGCGCUAGCUGAAAUGGUGAAACAAAGUAAAAACUGAAAGAAAAAGAAGAGUAGUUUGAAUGAAGAUAUAGUCUCUUUUGACAGUUUAUGCAAGACUAAUGUUAAAUAAUGUUUGGGGUUCGGAUUAGAAUCCUACGUGGUGAGAAUGAGAUUUUUAGCAUGAAAGAAAAUUAUCUAGACUAAUGAAUAUUUCUUUCUUUGGCGUUUGAAUAUAUGCUCUCUCAAUUGAUCCUAGAUUUAGUAUCAUGCUACUUCGUAUAUAGUGUUUCUAUACAUCCUAACCAAUUUUAAUCCAUCCAGCAGUUGGGGGAUUUUUCUAGCAUUGUGUGUAGAAUUUAACCUUAAAAGUAUCAUUAAUGGAGUGCCCUAGGAAUCAAAUAACGGUUCUAUAGUGGAAUAACGGUCAUAAAAUUAUGAUAGUGCCACCACCCGUUAUUGUUAUUGGAGAAAAUGCAAUUGAAAAAUUUAUUCACACCCAAAUCGGUGCGUAACGACUGCACGAAAAUGACGUAACGAAAAAUAUCGACAAUAACAAUCCAUUAUUGCCACUAUUCCCAUUUUCCUCCUCACCAAUUCAAGUUAUAAAAUAAAAAAAUAAAAUUUCAACCACUGCCAAAAAGCAUAAUAAAAGAGCAAGAUUGCAAAAGUAAAAGUAAAAGCAAAAAAAUAACUCAAAGCCUCAGUUUCAAAAUCAAUCUAAAAAAAAGUUAGAAAACAGUAUUAAAUCAUUUAUCAACCAUUCAAUCGAAAACAAUCCUAGCUCAAUCCACAAAUUACCUAAAUUUAAAUCAGCCUCAAAUUUUCAAUCAACAAUCAAGAUUAAAAAAGGUAAAAAGAUAAAUUUAAAUUACUUUCCUUUUUUUUACAAAAUUUAUGUAAAACAAUGUCUAUCUUUAUGAGAAUUUGAAAGAGACAAGCGACGUACUUUGUAGGCAUUAGGCAGGUGAUAGCGAUGAGGGUAUGCGAGAGAGAGCGAUAGAUGCAAAGAAAAUUGGGAGAAGAAAAAGAUGCCCAAAGCAUAAAAAAAAAGAACAAAAAAAGAUUUGAUGAGGGAAUUAGGUAGCCAAAACUUAGGGGGUAUUUGAGAAUAGAUGGAUGGAGUGGGAUGAAUGGGUGGGGUAGGGUUGGUUUUUUAUUUAAUUUUGUAAUUAAUUUUAUUAAAAUAUAAGUUCAAAUAUUUUUAAUUUUUGAAAUUUUUUAAAAUAAAACUAAUUAAAGGGAUUGAGAAUUUAUAAUUGAAAAAAAUUAACGAUUUAAUAAUUUAAUAUGAUAUAUAUAGAGAUUUUAGAUGAAAAUUUUGACAAAAUUUUUUUUUGUAUAAGUUAGAUGAAAAAUAAUUAAAAUUAGAUAUUAUAUUUUGAUUUUGUUGUUUAUUAAUUUAUGAUUUUGUAUUUAAAAUUUAAUAAUUUUUUUGUUGUUUUGAUAUUUAUAUUGUUGUCAAUUCUUUUGAUAUUAGAUUAAUUCUUAUUAUUUUUGUGUAAUUAUUGAAUAUUCCAUUUAUUAUAUAAGUAUUGAAAGUAAUUUGUAAUAAAAAAAAUUUAUAUCAAUUAGUGUAUCAAAAAAAUUAAGUUACUUAAUAAAUUUAAUAUUCUAUGAUCUAUUACUUUUAAGAUUAAAAACUAUUAACUAAAAAUUAAAAAAUUUAACUUAAAUUUAAUUUUUAAUAAUGAAAUAAGUAACUUUAAUAUUUCUAAAUAUAAGUUUUAUUUAAUUUUAUAUAAAAUAACAAGCAUGCAACUACGUAAAGAAUUUCCCAAGUAAAUAAGUAGAAGGUAUGCUAAAUAAUGAUAUAGGUUGACAUUUUGGAACACUUGUGCCAAAUAUAAAAGAAAAUGUUCAUGCAAACUUUGUAGUAAAGUUGUAAAAUGAGGAAUAAAACGUUUUAAGGAACACAUUGCUUAUAAAACUGACAAUGUUGCAUCAUACUUCAACAUUACUGGAAUGUUAUAUUUUUAUAAUUCCUUUGCAAAUAUUAUUGUUAAUUUCUUAACAAAAAAUAUAAAAUUACAUAAGCAUGUAUAACUAAUUUUCUCCUUUUUGUCUUGACUAUAUUAUUAAUAGGUAUAGUAAAAGAAAGUAUGAUAAAACUUUUUCAAGAAAACAAAUUAAAAAAAUUGACAACAAAAAUAAGAAAAAAUAAAUUUUUAUCACAGUUAAGAGGGCAAGAUGAUUAUAAAAGAUUUACUAAUGAAGACACCGCUACUAGAUAAGUCAUGCUAGAUAGUAUCCAAUCACAACAUGAGUGGCAUAGAAGACAAGAAUUCAAACAAAGAACUAGUGGUUUAAGUAAUAUAUAUGAAGAGGAACGAAGCUCUCAUGGCUCAGUUGCUAAAUAUUUUGAAGAAAGUACAAGGAAAUCAACUCCAAAUAAGUCUGAAUUUUCAUUACCUGAAUUGGUUAAAAGUAAGAGUUCAAGGUAAUUAAAAAUAAGUGACCCAUUUUUAAAGACAUUAAGAAAGAAGAUGAGUGAAUUAGUAUCAAAAUUUUUUAUAUAUGAUCGACUUCUUUUUCAAUUAGCAAACCCUCAAUGGUUACAAAAUUUAAUUUCUGUGGUAGCAGAAGUUGGCCAACAUAUAAAAUUUUUAACACUUUAUGAGGUUUCAGAUGUGUAUUUAGAGUCUAAGUAUCAAUAAAUUCAUGAAUGAGUUAAUGGAUUAAAAGCUCAUUGGAAUGAAUUGUGUGUCACUUUGAUGUGUAAUGGUUAGAUCAACAGUUUAAAUUAAAUACAUACCAUUAAUUUUCUUGGUUACUAUAGUAAAGGGAUCAUUUUUUGAAAAUCUAUAGAUGUCUCAAGUGUUCAUAGUAGAGAUAUAAACUUUUACUAUAGAUUAUUGGAUGAAGUUAUAAAGAAAAUUGGAGAAAAAUACAUUGUUCAAAUAGUCACUGAUAAUGAAGUAGCACUUAAAGUCGCAAAAAAAAAUUAAUAGAGCAGAGAAAACAUUUGUUUUAGAUAACAUGUUCAGCUCAUUGUUUGGACUUGUGCCUUAAAGAUAUUGACAAAAAAAAUGUGACAAAGGUUUUGGAUGAUGCAAAACCUGUGACUUGUUUUUAUAUACAAUUACAUUUUGAUUGUUAAUUUGAUGAAAAAAUAUACACAAAGAAAGCAAAUACUUCGUCUUACUCUUAUCCAAUUUGCCACUCACUUCAUAUAGUUAGAAGAAAUAAUGAGGCAAAAGCAAGAUUUAAGAGAGAUAUUCAAUUCAAAUGUUAGUAAUUAGUAUAAUUAUUUAAAUCUAGUAUCUUUUUAUGAUAUGAUGGUUUAAAAUAUUAAUUUAAAAUAUAUUACUCUAAAAAAUUAUUGAUGAAUAUAUAAAAAUUUAAAGAAUCAAAAUGGGAACAACAAAAAUAGGGGCUUGCUUAUGAAGCCAAAAAAUUAUUUUGAGAAAAGAUUUUAAAAAAAAGCAUGCGAUAUAAUAAAAAUUUAUGAGCCUUUGAUAAAAAUGUUGCACCUUGUGGAUGUGAUGAAAAACCAACAAUUGGCUUUAUUUAUGAGACUGUUGAUAGAGCUAAACAAAAAAUUCAGUAAAAUUAUCGUUAUUCUAUUGAAUAUGAAAAUAUUAUUGAUAAUAGAUGAAAUUUUAUACACUCUGAGUUGCAUUCAGUUGGUAAGUAAAUCAAGGAUAUAGAUGGCAUUUAAAAAUAUGUUUAUUUUUUAUAGUUAAAUUGUUUAUAUAUUUAUUUUUUAUUAUUUUAAUAUAAUAUUAUUAUGAAUUAUGUUUAAGUUACUAUCUAAAUCCACAAUUUCAAUUUGGAAUGGAACAUUCUGCAAAUAUAUUUAAAAAAAUAUUAAAAGGUACAAGAGUAAUUAUUAAAAUAUUAAAACUUUUUAUAGAUACUCAAAUCAAAAUAAUUAAUCAAGUUAGUAUUUAAUAUUAUUUUAUAACAUUGACAUUUAUUUUAUGUAUUAAAAAUAGAAUUAUUUUUUAUUUAUUCAUUUAUUAUUGUAUUUUAAAUCAAUAUACUUGUUAUUAUUUCAAGACAAGCAUGAAACAUUUGGUACUCCACAUGCACAAAGAGUUUGGAAGCAAAUGAAUUUAGAUAAAUAGUAAAUUAAAUAAUUAUAAUUUAUUUAUAUUAUUUAAUUGUAUAGCACAUUUAAAUUUAAUUUAAAUAAUUUUAUACAGCUGAGUAAUGAAUGAUAUAUGACACUUGUGUUCCUGAAUUACAAAAAUUAAUAAUCAAAGUGCUUAGUUAAACAAUAUUUACAUCAAAUUAUGAACAUAAUUAGAGCACAUUUAGCUGUAUUCACAUCAAAAUAAGAAAUAGAUUGAAGUUUGAAAUACUUUAGAAACUUAUAUAUACCUAUUACAACAUGCGACUAAGGAUGAGACAUCAGAAAAGAAUAAGCAUUGACAAGAUAAAUAAUAAUUUUAAUCCUAUUAGCCUUAACCAUAUUUUUAAAGAUGAUGAUCCAUUAGCAGAAUGGCUGCAAGAGAAAAAAAAUCAUAUGUUAGAUGAUCAAAACUUUGAUUGAUUACUCGUAGAUAAUUCUGAUAAUGAAAUGAAUGUUGAAUAAUCACGUUAAUCUCAAGAAAGAAAUGUGUCUCAUUCAAGUUCAAGCCCAACAUCAAGUUAGAGUAAUUAUAGUGGGGGUUUAAGUCCAAAUGAUGAUGAUGGUGAUAGUGUGAAUUUUGGUGGUAAAAUGAAUACAAAUCGACCUUACAGCCCACUUAGAAGAGAACUUGGGUUUGUUGCUACUAGUGAACUUUUCAUUAAAAUGGUAGAAUACGAAAUAAAUCAUUCUGCUAAAUCUAGUGAGGGUCAAAGUGCACAUAAAGCUCAAUCAAAAGGAAAAGCCAAGAAGCACUAUCAUGAUAUUUCUAGAAGUUCUUCAUCUUCAAAUAGGAGAUCUAAUUAUACUAAUUUUAAGUAUAAUAAAUCAUCAGCUAAUACUCAAAGAUGUUACUGUCCACUGGAAUAAUCUAAUUUUCAACAUCCUCAUGGUUAUCCACCUUUAUAUGGUUAUUAUCCACUAUAAAAUGUAUCAUCCACCUCAAAUGUAUCAUUUACCAUAUAUAUAUAUCCCUCACCACAAACGUAUCAUGCACCACAGAUGUAUCAUCCUCAAAUAUAUCAUCCACCUCAAAUGUACUAAAAACAAAGGUGACAAAGAUGGGGAUGUAGUCAACUUGGCUCUCAAAAUGAAGAUAGAGAAUUUGAUCCUUAUCGUCAGUCUAUCAUAUGGUAAAAUUUGAAAUAUAUAUCAAUAAUUGUAGUUGAUAGAAUUUGAAAUUAUUAUAUUUUUAGUUGAUGAAAUUUGAAAUUAUUAUAUUUUUAAGUUUGUAAUUUUAUUAAAUAUACAUGCUUGGUAUUUAACAUAUUAUAUUUUGUUAAUAUUUGAUUUGUCUAGAAUUAAUAUUAAAUAUGAACUUAGCUCAAAAAAAUUUUGUAGAUAAACCAAAUAUGAAUACUUUAUUAUAAUCUAAAUAAAUUUGUGAAUAAUUUAAAAAAAAAAUAAAAAACAUAAUGUCAUAAACUAUUUUUAAAAUCAUUAAAUAAAAAUUUUUAUAAUUAUAAUUAUAAUUAUUAUAUUUUAUAAUAAAUUAUAUAAAAAUAAAAAAAUUCACCACUGUAAUAAUUAUAAUAAUCUCCAUUAUAUCUAAAAAGUGAUAAAUAUAAUAUAAUUAAAAAUAUGAUCGGGAUUACUAUUUAAAUAUCUAGAAGUGCCCUUAACCGCUUGUCCGUUCAUGCAGAGCAGAAAAUGAAUGCUACGAUGUUAGAUGAGAUAAAGAUGACGGUGGAUGAAGAAGGACAUGCAAUGAGGGCUAGAGUCAAGGAGCUCAAAUCGAGGGCAGAAAAAGCUUGGAAUGAGAAUGGUUUUUCUUCUUAAGCAUCGGCUCAAUUUUUGUGUUUAAUCUUUUUGGAUCUCUUAAAAAAAUUGAACAAGCCCACUUUAUUGUAAUUUUGUUUUAGUAUAUGAUAGCCCCAUUGAUUUUGAAGGCCAGUCAUAAUAAGAAUUUCAGGGCAAGCGGUUGAAAAAGCCCAACAUUUAGCCCAAAUAUAAAGUUGUUCAUGUAUGGUGUAACAUGCAGAUCCCGCAGUCAUGAUUUUUCAGUGACCGCGGCAAUUGAGGACUCAGAUUAUGACUCACUGCCAAUUUAAUUGAGGUGCUAAGCUUUAAUUGGCUGUUAAUGUUUUUGAAAAGGGUAGAUAAUUUUCAGAAAAAGAAUCUCAUUUUUCGUUGACCAAUAAAUUAUUUUUCAUCGAUAAAUCAAUCUUGUAACAAAUAAAAAUUAAAAAAUACAAAAAUCAUUUUCUAAAAGUCAUUUUUGCGAAACAAAAGGAACCUUCUUUUGAAUUAAAACAUGUAAUUAUUAAUAAUUCUCUAACAUUUUACUUGUACCCAAAAGAAAACUCUAAAGAUUUGUACUGGUGUGAAAAAAAAUUUUGAUCUAGAAAUGGCAAGUGCCUAUGUUUAAGACCCUUAAUUUUUAUGGCUACAAAAUCCAAGAAAAUCUUGCUAGUUAUUGCAUUGCCAGACAAAAUGAGUAUGCCAUGUACAUGAUUCAAUGAAUAUGUUAAAAGUACAUUAUAACCUACAAUGCUCAUGUUAGACAUAGGUAAAUAAAAUGGUUAGUGAAUCCACCAGAGACAAACAGAUGGUGACUGAUGAAUUUAGGGUGAUUUGGAUUGACCAUAAAAAGAAAAUGAAAUUUUUAUUACACUGAGAAAAUUAUAGAAACGAAGCACAUAUAGACAGACAUCUUAUUUGAUAAUGAUAAGCCAAGACAGAAGCGUAUCAAAUGAUGCACAUCUUUCUCAACUGAAUGGAAUUGGCAAAAAGGAAUAGAAGAAAGGAUAUUCAACAGAAAUGCCAAGACCAUAAAACAAAGCCAAACACAAUUCCAAUUAAUGAAUAUUCAACACAAAAUGGAACCCCAAAUGGGGGGAAUGUCAUGCCUGAGAAAGCCUCUUGACAACACCAGCCAUGUACUUUCCCUGAUGCUCUGCAAGAGCCAGCUCUGUUUCAGUUGGCUCUCUUGUGCCAUCACCAGCAUAAACUCCAGCACCAUAAGGUGAACCUCCUCGUAUGGAAUCCAUCUUGAACAUUCCAGCUCCGAAAGUGUAGCCAAUGGGAACAAAUAGCAUUCCAUGGUGUGCCAACUGCGUUAUUGCCGUCCAACUGAACCAGUUAGAAGCACCAGAAAUGUCAGAAUGUUGAUAAACAUGCACUUUUUUGAGAAAUAAAUUCAUCCAUUCAUCCAUUUCUAGUUCAUCUCUCUCCACCAAUUUAUUAAAAACAUAAUAGACAACAGUGAAGUUCAGAAAAGAUCAUUUGGACAGAUAAGCCUGAUUUACCAAUGUGUCUCAGAUCAAACUCCAUGCUGACUUCUAGCAGGGAGCACCUUAAAUUUUCAUAUUGAAAAUGAAACCACUUUAGAUCCUUGAAUUUUUAGUGAUCUCAGUACAAACAUAGGUUGUUAUCUGAUAUCCAAUCAUCUGGAAAUGCUGAGAAUAAGUUCUAUAGCUAACAUACCAAUAAAAAACACUGAAACUCCUAAGAGAUGACAGCCACCCAACAUUUCCAAAGCCUAGAAAGCUUUCAUAUUUCAAGUUUAGUUUUCAUGUGAGGCAAAGUUCAUCUUUCACUAGACUGAAAAAGACAAAAAAAAAUCAUAACUUACGCGGUGGUUUCUUGGCCACCUCCUUGAGUUCCAGUACUAACAAAGAACCCAGCUGGCUUCCCCGCCAGCGUCCGCUCCUUCCAAAGCUGCCCCGUGGAGUCGAAAAACGCUUUCAUCUGAGCCGCCAUACACCCAUACCUCGUUGGAAACCCAAACAGGACACCAUCCGCCUCCGCCAAUUCCGCCGCAUUAAUCUCCGGAACCUCCGGGUCUUUAGGCGGCGCGUUCAUAUGCUCCAGCACGUCCUCCGGAAGCGUCUCGGGAACCCGGUAAAGAAGGGCCUCGACACCUUCCACGCCGUCGACUCCUUUCUUCACCCACUUCGCCAACCUCUCAACGUGACCGUACAUGGAGUAAAAAACAAUGAAGACUUUUAACGUAGCGGUAACUGAUUGGGUAUUUACAAAAUUCACCACCACGGUAGGAGUUUCGUGGGUUUCUUCAUCGGCGGAGACAGGUGCGUUGUUGGUGAUGGUGGUGGUGGAUCCACGGCGGCGGGCGGCGCCUUCCACGUAGGAAGGAAGCUUUUUCUUGCUUGGGACACAGCCACCGCCUUUGCCCAUGGAGGAUUAACGGGAAUUGGGGUUAGGAUGAAUUACAUUACACAAAAUCAUAUAACAAUUUUGUUUAAGCCUGGACCAUCGAAUUACAUUACCGUUGACUCCAACAAGCAUCCUUUUUCCUGAUGUCAUUCUGACAAAAUUUAUUAUUUUAUAUUUCAUAAAUAGGACCAGGGUGUCUCCCUGAAAAUCAUAAACGAGCUGUCAUAAUAAUAUAAAAUAUGAUAAGAUGAUUUUAUAUUUAUAUAAAAUAUAAAUAUAAAUAUAAAUGUGAUAUGAUUUAAAUUUUUCAUAAUAAUUAUAUAUAAAUUUAAUAAAAUUAAAAAAUAUAUUUUAUAUUUUUAUAUUAACAUAAAUUAUAAUAUUUAAUUUUUAUAUAAUAUAUAAUCAAAACAUAAAAAUAUUAAUAUUUUAUAUAAUAUAGAUAUACAAAUUUAUUAAUAAUGAAGUAAUUCAAAUGCUAACUCCAAUAAGUUUAAUUAGUUAAACUUCGUCUUUUUAAAUAAAAAAUUUUAAAGUCGAGUGUUAUCGAUAAUUAUUUAUUGAAAUUAUUUUAAAUAUAUGAUCUGUAAUUAUUUAUUUUAAAUUAUCAAAUAUGAUAUAUUUUAUUUUAAUUUAAAAAAUUAAAUAAUCUACCUACUUUUGAGUUUUUUUAUUUUAAUUUGACUACUAACUACAUGAUAUAAAACUUUUAAAUGAUGCAUAAUGCUCUUUUUAUACAUAUAUAAAGUUUUGAUUCCAUUUUUGUGUAUUAUGACUUGUCAUGGCCUCGUCAACUAAAAUAAAAUAUAAAAUUUAUUUUUUGUGCACAUCAGACGGCUAGUCAUAUGGAGUAAUUAUCAUUGGAUUUUCAUGUAUUUUGUCAUCUUUCGAAUAGUUUUAAAAUAUUGUUGUUCAAUGAUAUUUUUGGUGUAGCCAAAAAGAAAAACCAUAUACAAAAUCCAAUUAAUAAGAACGAACAUGCCGUGUGAAAUGGGUUCUAUGUGAUUGGUUUACCGGUUUAGUUUUAUAAAUACAUAUAAAAUCCAAAAAUCAAUGUAUUCAGGUUGAAUGGUACUAAAUCCGGUUAGCUAGCAUGCAUAAUUGAAUUUUAGUGAGUUUGACAGUAAGAGACUGAAAUUAACAUGUGCUUGUUCAUGCCCAUCCCUUAGAGUUCAAACUUUAACUGUUAGGUAAAGCAUGUUCAGAACCAUUUAACUAAGUCCUGGAUAUGGUUGUAAUUAAAAGGGAGAAAAAAAUUUAAAAAAUAAAAAUCAAUUCAAAAUUAUAAUGUUUAGUUUGGUUUAGAUUAAGUUUGAAUAUCAAAGAUAUAUGUUAGGUUCGAGUUAAGUUUUAAAUCAGAAAGUGAAAAUAAAAAAAAAUUAAAUCGAAUUGAAUUAUAUAUUUUAUUAAGUUAUUUUUUAAAAUAUUUAUAAAAGAAAAAAUAAUUUCAAGCUUAAAUUUAUUUAAUAUAUUAAAAAUUAUAUUUAAAUAAUUUAAAAUUUAAUGAAUCAAAUAAAAUCGAUAAAAUUCAAUUCAAAUUAAAUCAAUACUAAAAAAAAUUGAUUGAAUUUGAAUCAAAUUUAAAAAAUUUAAAAAGUUAUACAUUAAUCAAAAUAAUCCAACCAAACCAUCAUUAACUUACUUUGGAACCGCAUAACAAUUAUGGUCCCCUCAGUCCUCACCCAAGUCCAUUGAAGCCUAUCAACUGCAGCAGCUCCUGAAACCGAAAUGGGCAAUUGCCCCUCUUCCGUCCAUCGCAAUUUGUCUUACACGAUUCCAAACCAACUUCAUGCAUUCAUGUUAAGGCCCAAAGUAGAUCCACUCGAAACUUGCUUGAGCCCCUCAUCAGAGCUGAGGCCUGGUCCCCAAAAUAGCAGGGGUUGAGUUCCCAAACAUUAGCCUGUAGGGGAUAGGCUUAGAAAUCCAAGAUAUAAAAGCCCAUGUAAUUAAGAAAUGUGGGUUUGAGUUUUAAAGUAAUGACCCAUGUUAUUGGAUUCAAGCAGGAAUUGAAGCCCAUGUUGUUAGAAAAUGAUGACGUCAGUUCGAAACGAAGGCUCAUUAAAAUUUGCUGCCACAAAGCUAAAGUUGGUAGUCGCGGAUUCUACAUCAUUUUCGAUGUUGUGCGAUUAAAUUUAUUAUAUUAUUAAUUUUAAUAAAAUUUAUUUAAUAUAAAUUAUUUAUUAAUUAUAAUUAUAAUUAUAAUAAUUUUUUAAUUAUUAUUUUUAAUUUCAUUGCUUAUUCAAAUGAAAUCUAAUAACACACGUUGAGACGAAUAGUUAGGAGACAGGAUAAAGAAACAAAAGCUAGAGCUGCCUCGUCAGGAAAGCAAGGUGGCAAUGUCCAUGGUCAUGGACCACCAAAAGAGAUUGCACAAUUCUGAAAACCAAAAAGGUGCCAUAUACCAUUGUCUUCGGAUCCAGGACACAGCGAUUUAGUAGGCUUUAGUGCAGCUAGCUAUGCCACUGGCGUACGGCCACACCCUUGCCCAACACGUGUUAACCCUAAAGAUCAGCAAUGGCAACUUUUGUAUUAAUAAACCAAGAUCAAUAAAUUUAAUAAUUUAAAAUAUAAUAUAAUAUAAAAUUAAAAAUAUAUAAAUAAAUUUAAUUAAAAAUAUUUUAUAUUAUUAUAUUAAUAUAAAUUAUAAUACAUAAUUUUAUAUAAAAUAUAAUAUAAAAUAUAACUUAUUAAUAUUUUACAUAAUAUAAACACGUAAAUUAUCAAAUCUAACAAAAAAAAAAAAAAAAAAAACAUGAAAACGUUAUAAUGGUUACCAUGUGCCAAAGCUUGAUCAAGGAAAAGAAAGAGAGACAGCUUGGAAUCCGUAAAAGUUUGGGAAAAGGGGCAAAGGAAAAAACACCAAAGCUAAAUGGACCAAAUUAUGCCACAAAUCCACUUGUCCUCCAUCAACCUUUCUUUUGUACGAUUUUUGGUGUUUUUAAUCCUAAAUUAUGGGAUUUAAUUAAGGAGUUAAUCGAGUAUUGUAGAAUCUUUUAUCAUUUUUUUAUACAGCCCGAAGAUACAAACUUAGCUGCUGGAAAUAAUGGGGAAUAAUCCAACUUUAUCUAUGUGUUUUUGUGUGGACUUUAAAGAAAGUGAAAGUGACAAGCCAAGCAUUUGCCUUCCAAUAGAAAGGAUUCAAAGCCUAGCUACUCUUUUCUUUAUGGAUUUCAUGUUAAGUAUUUGACCGACAUCUUUUUCACCAACAGGUAAGAUAUGGGUUAGGUUUCAUAAAUUCAUUGUUAGUUACUUUGUUUUCCAUCUUUUUGUUAUCACGUGCCACACGCGCUCGAAUAUUACCUCGAACCUGACAACAACUUAACCGAUGUUUAACGGGUGGCGUGACCGUGCCCCUAGUGGCACAUUGGACUACAUUCUACUAUAUAAAUUAAGGCUCGAAUUUAAUUAGAAUUUUAAUUACAAUACUAUACUUAAAGUCAUAGUCCACCUAGAUAAUGGCUUAAAUUAAGGCGUAAUUCAAGGGUUGUUGAAAUCUAAGUUUAAAAAAGAAAGAAAAUAAUCCAUCCCCUGAAUUGUUAAUUUAAUUGGUGCAUUGAAAUAGGGCUCGAACUUUAAUUAAAAGUAAGCGUGAAGGGGCUUUUAGUAUGGGAGGAGGGAAACAUGGAAGGCCACUGUGGGUGGCAUAUACAACACAAACAAAAUUGACUUGAACAGAGGAGAAGAGAACAGGAGAACCUGAUUGGUAAUGGACAUUGAUAGGCACUCACAUUAAUCUAGAGACACAUUUCCCUGUCAUGCAGCUUUUAGUGUCACUGUAUAUUAGAUAAUUGGGGGAGGUUAGGUGCCUGCUUUAACUAUUGAACAGAUGCCAUCGGGAGUUGGCAAAAGUGAUAAGAGAUGAAUAUUGAGUAUAUUAUCACUAAGCUCGAAUUUUUAAUGGUUAUUUGUUAAUAAAUGAUUUAUAAAUUUAAAAAAUUUAUAAGUAAAAAUUUAAUAAAUUCGUAAAUGAUAAUUUAUUUUGAUUUUAAAAAUAAAGUUUUUUAAAUUAUAUAUAUAUAAAAAAGGAUUGGACUUAUGGAAUAUAGAACAACGAAGAAUGGUGUUUUUUUUUUUUUUUUUUUUUUCAGAUUUAGAAAAGGGUGCAAUAAUCGCUUCUAUCACGUGAAAGUACUUAUUGGUUGAUACAUAUAAAAAGAAAAGUCAUUAAUCCCGGUGCAACAUUAUAUCGUCAAAUGCCCCGAUUUGAUGUAAUACAAAAUUUGAGUUAUGUCUUUUUCAUAAAACAGGACUCAAAGAAACCCAAGAAAGGAAAUCUAUAAUAUAAAAAAUUGGUCAUAUUUUGCAUUUUAUGAUAUGUUCAGACAAAGAGAAUCUGCUGUUCGAGCUGUCUUACAGACAAAUAUUGAUGGAGAUGAAAUACUAGAUACGAUUUAAUUAAGAUCUAAUGGUGAUUAAGGAAAUAUUUGGUGAGAUCAGUGGGGAGUGGACCACUGUACAUUCUCUUCUUGAGAGUUGUGGGCUGCAAAAGGAAGAUUGGUUAAGAUUUCCUUAAGCAGGGGGAUGGCUUUCAUUAACCAAAUUAAAAAGAAUGCAAAAUCCAAUUGCCAAUAGCUGUUUAGGCAUCUAAUUGAAGUUGGAAUAUGAGGAAACAAGAGUUGGAAGUGUCGGGACAAACAUGACAGCCAUUAGUUUAAGCACUUCACUUCAUUAUUUAGUUUUAAAAAACAAGGGUUUAUUAAAUUCAUAAACAACUCAAAAGCAUAUAAUGGAAUCCCUCCCAUGCCAUGCGCAUCUUCCUCAGCCUAGCUAAGCUAAUUUCUUUCUUUCUUUCCUUCUUUCCUUUUUUUUCUUUGGUUUCUUCCACUAAAUAAUAGCAAUUACAGAAUCUCUGUCUCUCAAUGGUUUCAUCCUUGUCCUUUCUUACCACCAUGGGUAAACUUGGGUGAUCCGAGUUUAACCUUGGAAAAGAUGCAGUGCAAAUUUAUCUCUUUUUGCUUAAAAUAAACACCAACUCGAUUUAAAAACAAUGACCCUUUCAGUUUUUCACUUAGCAAACAAGAAAGCAAUAUGUAGUAAAAGCUUUUUAUCUUCUUCACUGGUUGUGGAAUUAACUCUCCAAUUAAUGUUCUUCCUGACAACCUUAUCAUUCAUCCCUUCCAACAUUGACAAAUCCACUCCCAUUUGCUCCAACGGGACCUAAUAGGACUACAUACCUAUUUCGACAAAGGGUUGCACUAGGCCACUAGCUACUACUUCUGAUCCAAAACCUUUAGCCAAUUCAAGCCACUUUAGAGAAUAAUGGAGUCAUCAGUGUGGUUUUAUAGCACCUAUAUAUUUACCAGCUGCAUUUCCUGAAUUUGCUCAAAUGGAUAAUCUUAGUGGCCAAAGCAUUUGCUCAUAAAUGGAUGAAUUCUUUUAGAUAAGAUAAUGAGCAGCAUCUAAAGUCAUCAUCCUUUUAAUUUCUCCUCCUUUCCAAGCACGACAGCUUCCCCGAAUUCCAAUUUUUUUUUCUCCUGUUGUUUCUAGUAAUUAGCAUCAAUGGCAGAAUCAAAUCUUGGUUACAGUGGGAUUUUAGAGAAUCAAAUCAAGACGUUAUAGCCAUUGACAUUUGAGCAAGGGUAAAUAUGGCGGCUGGGUUAACAGUGCAAAUGCAAACGGAACAGUCCUGAUUGGUGGGCAGGUCAGAGAGCUGUCAAAAUCAGUUGGAAGAACACGUGUAUGGAUCAAACUGUGUGGUCAAAAGAGGUACUUUCUGGGAUGGUGACACGAAUCAAAGUAUUUGAUUGCACCCCAUGUGCAUUCCCUUGCCACGAAAUCAGUCUUUGUCACCCUCUUAUCUAAACACCCUUUUUUUUAAUGGUCUUUUCACCAUGACUUAAAUGGCUCGGGUUUGAGCCACGUUUGCUUUCCUCCACCAAUCGGCUCUCAUCAGAAUUACCUCGUCGUUGUGGAACACUGUAACUUUCUCAGAUCAUUUUUUGCUUCAGUUUAAGUAAUCUUUGUGUCAGACGAGGAAAAACACAACGCAAUUCAACUGGUUUUCUUUUAGGAUUAACAACUUGCAGUUCUUUUUUUAUUGUCUUGUUUGUAUUCACAUGAUCUUAUCUUGUUGAUUUCUAGGUGUAUCUGUUUGCGUCUCUAGGUCAAAAUAGGAACUCAUCACCUCAAUGCAUGCGUCGAUUAAUAAUAUUGAACGUAUGGGUGAAACCAAAGAUGUUGGGAGGGAGAAUUUUUCAUGGAGUGCUAACCAUUAGCAAGUCCACUACUCUAAAAAUCUCAAUCAAUCUCCAUCAGAAAAUCAUUAUGGAUAAGAAAACAAUAUAUCUUUUCUAUCUGGAGACCAUUGGCAGACUGCCUUGCACUCUUUGCAUUCAGCCUUUCGUAAAAAGUUGAAGCAGCUUUUAGCCACACCCAGCCAACCAACUUGCUCCUCGUGCCUUUUAGCCCUCUAGUCCUUGGAUAACACCCUGCUUGGAUUCUGACCUGUGGAUAAACGACCUUUGCAACUGAUUUGAUGCAACUAAACCACCAUGAAAAAAAACAGAAAAAACUUUGCUUUUGAUGUCUCCUAAAGUCCCUUCAUUUUUUUCAUCUCAUCUGGUUCAAAUCAAGAUUUUUUUUUUCUUGAUAUGAUAGUAUGAAACUUUUUCAAGGCACAGAGACAAAGUCGUCGUGUCAUUCUUGUGUCCACUUGAAUAUUCCCCGGAAAGUUUUAGUCAAUAGCUAGUCAUGGCAGGUUAUGCAACCUAUAACAAACCAAGCAAGUCAUAUCUGCAUUUGUAAAAGUAAAGAACAAGAUGGAUUAUUUUAAGAAAAUAAAUUUCUUAGGUUGUUUGGGAAUGCAGAAAUCAAGGGCAAAAGUCUGCAACUUUUUUUCGCCCCAUUGUUCACUUAAUCCUAAAAAGGUGCCUCGAUGAUAAAGGGAUAACAAAAUGAGGCAGAUAUUAUUUGUCAAAAUGCUUCUCUGGUCAUGUUUAGGGAUGGGAGUCCAAUCCCUCUUCAGCAUAUUCUUAUCUAAUUUGAUUUGAUUUUUUAAGAUUAAUUUUUUAAAAAUCAAAUUUUAAGUUAAAUAAAAUUAAAUCAAUUAAUAAAAAAAAAUCAAGAUCAAAUUUUAAGUAAAUUUAUAUGACUUGAUAUACAUAAUUAUUUAUUUAUAUUUAUAUUCAUUUAAUUUUAUAUUUAUAUUAAAAAAUAAUAUUUUAUUAAUUUCAAGUUAGAUUGAAUCGAGAUUGAUUUUAUACAAUAUCAUAUCAAGUAUUAAAAAAAAAUUAUCAAAUUGACUAUGAGUAUUAUAAGUAUAAAAUCAGAUCAGAUUCGAAGCGAAUAAAAAUCUUAACUUGGCCUGUUGCCAUCUAUAGUCAUGUUUCAGUUCUUCAUUUCUUUCAUCCUUUUAUCUUUGUGAUUUUUUUAUGUAGCAUUAAAAGACUUACAUAUAAAUGAUACAUUUUAACGGUGACUGUAUAAAUCAGUUAAAUUAAAUUAAUAAUUGAUUUCGAUUAAAGCCUUUGAUUUUUAAAUAUGAUCAUUUUAAUCUCUACAAAAUAGAUUUUUCUAAGUUGUAAGAUAGUAAAUUUUAAUAACAUUAAUCCCUAAAAUUUUAUUUUGAAAUAUUCAUUAAUACUUAAGUUAAUAACAAUACAAAUGUGUCAUAGGAAAUUUUUAUUCCACAAAUUCAUGUCAGAAUGUGUUAUUUUGAAGAUAAUUCCUAACUGUUCGAAUAUUUCUCUUUUACCUUUUGUAUAUGAAGGUUUUUUAAUAUUUUUAUUUCUAUUAUAUUUAUAUAGAGAUUAUAUUUGUUAUAUUGUCAGUAUAUAAAUUUUAUAUGUUGUCAAUAAAGUAGAUGAUACCAUUUUAUUAAUAAAUAAAUAUCAAUUCUUAAAAUAAAUAUAUAAAAAAUAUAUUUUUUUAAAAUUUUUAUUAAUAAGAUAACAUAAUCUAAUUCACUAAUAAUAUAUAAAAUUAAUAUACUGAUAGUACAUCAAAUAUAAAUUUUAUAUACAUAUUUAUAUAUAAAAUGUACUCGCAUACUAUAUGCAUAAAUGCACUCACAUUUAUUCAUUUUUAUGUUUGAAAAAUCAUUCCUUUAUUUGAGGUGAAGUACUCAUGUAUAUGGUAAGUUAAUUAUUUGCAUACCAAAGUUUUCCAUGCAAAUUUAUGGCUUUUUGAAAUAAUGCACGUGACCUUGUGUGUGUGUGUAUAUAUAUAUAUAUAAUAUAUAUAUAUAUUAACUUCAAAAUGUUUUAUGUAUUUUUAUGUUUCGUACCAUAUUUUUUUUGUACAUAAUUUGUAUAGUUGGAAAAACAUAAUAUUGGAAGUUUAGUUUUAAAUGGUCACUUGUUAAUUAUUUCUUUUUUAAGUUAUGAUACCAAAAUUGGGAGGUUUAAUUAGAUUUUAAGUUGAAAAUAAAAAAUUACUCCUUUAAUUAGUUGUCAUAUCCAUUUUAAAAGUAUAUAUGAGGAGUGAUUUACUUAUAUUAGUAUAAGUAUUAGACUUUUUUUUAAAAUCAAAAUUAUUAAAUUUAAAAAUAUUAUUUUGAUUCAAAUGAAUCAUGAAUUUAAUUUUAAUUAAAAAAUUCAAAAAAAAUGUAAUACUUACAUUUCUCUUCUUCUAACAUAUACAUAUAUAUCUUUAAUUUGUUUUUAGUUACAAAAUUAUCAUCCAUCCCCCUAUUUUUUCUCUUAAAAUCUAUUGGUUCCAAAGUUUGGCUAAACUGAAUUGUCGGAAGUGUAACAAACAUUUUUUUUUAUUUUUUAAAGAUAUUUUUAGAUUACGGCUAAAGAUUUUAACUCGAUAAGGAAAAUAUAAUUUAAUAUUUUAAAAUAUAAUACGAUGAUAUAAUAUAAAAAUAAAAAAAAAUGAUACAAUUUAAAAUUUUAAUAAUAAUUUUAUAUAAAUUUAAUAAAACAAAAAAAUUAUAUUUUCGUAUCGACAUAAAUUAUAACACAUAAUAUUUAUAUAUUUAUAUAAUAUGAAUACGUUUAAUAUCAUAUAUCCAUAUAUCCAAAUUUAGAAACCACGGUGUUAUAUCAUGGGAAUGCACUGUAAUAAAAUACCACUUCCCCCAGCUUUAGUUGAUAAACAAGACGUCAACAAUGACGACAUAUCUGGCCACCUUAAAAGAUUAAUUUCCCCAACAACCUUAAUGUCUUUCCCAAUUUAAGAUUAAUAAAAGACUGAGGUUCUUCCACGCAGCUGCAUUUUUCUUAACUAUAAAUGAAGUACUAAUUUACUGUUAGUAACAACAGUUUUCACUCGUCUCGAGCCACGAAUGAGCUAUGGUUAAAAGUUAAAAUCCAUGGGGUAUUGGCUAAAGCCGAAUGGCUUGGCUAAUAGUAGACAUGGAAAUAGGUGAAAUACUAUUACUAUCUUAUUCGACAACAAUGGUGACUUGCAAUGUACAAAUCCAGAGGCCAACCAUAGCUCAUUGUUUAUUGACUUCAAAGUGUUCAGGUUUGGGAUCCUGUUUAAAUUUUACUAACUAAAUAGUGUAUUUGUUCCUUGCCCGUCACCACCACAGUCACCCUUACCUAUUCUCUUAAUUACCUAAUUAGGAAAGCCUAAUCCAAAACCUAGCUAGUUUCAUUAGAGGAUUCACAAUUAAUAAGACUCUCAUAGAACUUAAAAAAAAAAAAAAAGAAAGAAAUGGAAUUAGAAAAACAUAGAUUUCAUAGUAUAUGAUUUUUUUAUACAAAAGAUCGUAAUUUUAAAAUAAAAAAAUUAUAUACAUUGAAAUUAAAAUUUUAAAUUAAAUAAUUAUAUAAAUUAAUUGAGUUAUAUUUUAAAAUUAUAAUAUAUUAUUUUUUUAAUUCAAUUGUGUAUUUGAUUUAAUGACGUACGUAUAUUUUUUAUUCAAAAUCAAAAAGUGGAUUUCAAAUUUUUUUCAAAUAAAAAAAUAAAACUAUUCAUUAUCUUCAUUUACUUCGCCAUACACCAUUGAUCAUGUGAGAUAUUGAGGACUACAUCUUGCCACCUUUUUAUUGGAAUCCAUAUAGUGAACAUUUUGGGAUUUUGUUGCCAAUUGGGGGCCAAAAUAUGGUUGACAUAAUUUUACCAGAUAACUAUAACUGGAAGCUCCUCACCUACAUUUUUUUUUUUUUUGGACUAGGGGAGAGGGUUUAAAUGUAACUAACAAAAUUGUACCAUAUAUAUAUAUAUUAACUUAGUCAUGUGGUAGCUAGUUCAAUCUUUUGUCUAGAAUUAAUAUACUAAUUUCUAACAUACAACAAUGGCACUGUUGUUAUUCAUAAGACAAUGAAGUCCAAUCUUUGAUAGGAUAUACUCCCAAGGUAGACAAUCAGGUGCUUAACUCCUACUCAACUCUAUAAAUAAACAACAACGUUACUUCCCAACACAUCCAACUUCUCUAGCGGAUCAGAUCAGCCAUUACUAAAUAAAUUUAAGAGAGAGAGAGAAAGUCAGUGAAUUUAUCAAAGGAUGACAACCCAAAUGAAUGAGCUUCAAGAUCAUAUGGCUCUUAUCUCCCAAAUGUACCCUGGUGUAUACACCCAAAUUGUACCACAGCAAGGUGAUUUAAUUUGUGUGGUGAAACUUACGAUAAAACAUACUGUAAUUCUUUUCCAUUUUUAAGUCUUGCUUGAUUAACCCAAGCUUGUUGAUGAUAUGAUGAUGAGCAGGGGAAUCAAAGCCUCGACGGCGGCGGAAGAAGAACAAGGGAGGGGAAAACGGCCUGGCAGGGAUUAAAAAAAGGAAGCUUAGCCAGGAACAAGUUAAUCUUCUUGAACUUAAUUUUGGUAAUGAACAUAAGCUCGAGUCUGAAAGGAAAGACAGACUUGCUUUGGAGCUGGGACUUGACCCUCGUCAGGUAGCUGUCUGGUUCCAAAACCGAAGAGCUCGCUGGAAGAACAAGAAGCUUGAGGAGGAGUAUAGCAAGUUGAAGUCUGUCCAUGAAGGCGUUGUUCUUGAGAAAUGCCACCUUGAAUCCGAAGUAUGUAUCUAUCUCUUUCUCUCUUCCAUACAUUUUACAAAGAACAACAGUUCAUAUUCAUGCAAACCCUUUUCUCUUUUAAAGUUUUCUUAAUUAUCUUUUAGAUUUUUAUCAUUUUCUUUCUGGUUUCUUAGCAACCAAACAGAAGCUAAUGAUACAAUCAGGCUGUUCUCUUCUGCACUUUUUUUCUCAGUGUCUGACGGGGUCGACAUACAGGUUUUAGUUUUUUCUUGAACAUUAAAUUAUUAUUUUUUUUAAAGGAUGAUGGGAGCUUAGUUCCGUAAUUUAUGAACAAUUUUCAAAGAUUAAUCGAUUAACAAAAUAAUGAAGAGCUUUGGUUUGAAGGAAAUCAAGCCAAUUAAGCAAGUGCCUAUCCCUUUAAUCUUUAUCCUUGUGAUAAAUACAAGGUGACCCACCAUACAAUGAGCUCUGGGCUCGAAGAAAGCCAUGCCAUGCUGUUGGGUUAGAGCAUUAGAAAAGUUUUAAAGUACCUUGGACGAAAAUUGACUAAAAACAUUGACAAGGAACAGCAAACUGCCACCUCAUUACACAACAAAAAGUACUUAAAAUUUUGCAAUCAAGACAAUGUCCGUACGGUCUGGUUUAAGGUGCCUGUUGUUGGGCUUAACCAAGGCCCACUUAGGGAACAGCAAAUUGGAUUCUUCCCACGUGGGAAACUGCUCACUUUGUACUACAUUAUUUUACAAGGAAAGAUGAACAAGAACAGUUUUUUAUUAGACAUAAAAAUUUAUAAAUUUUUUUAACUUACUUGUAGGUUCUAAAGCUUAAGGAGCAACUUUGUGAGGCAGAGAAGGAAAUCCAACGGCUGGGGGAGCGAGUGGAUGGGGUUUCCAUUAAUAGCCCAAGCUCAUCUCUGUCAAUGGAAGCCAUUGAUCCACCUUUUCUAGGGGAGUUUGGAGUAGGAUAUGAUCAAGAUGUUUUCUACAUAGGAGAAAACAGUUAUAUUCAUGGCAUGGAGUGGAUGAAUCUGUACAUGUAAUUGAACUAAGUAAGUUAGUACAUUUAGUAUGUGUAAAUAAUUAUGACAACUACUGUAAAUUAAUCCUUAAUUUUAUCUCCCAUGUUGUGUUCUAAUGUUAACAAGAACAUGAAAUUUAGAAAUGUUAUUAACUACUACCAAAUAACAUAGUUUUUUGAUGGGGAUGAUUGAGUGAAGGAGAUAAAGUCAACUGUUUUUGAAUAAUGUUAUAAUUUUUUAUUUAAUAACUAUAAGAUGUCAAUCCCAUUGGCCACAAACUUUGUCUCAUAACAAUAUAAGACUUUAUAAAUUCAGAGUUUAACUCAAUAAUUUAUGUAAUUAUUUUUAAAAGAUAAUAUCUAAUAAAUUUAAAAUUUAAAUAUCAAUGAUCUAUUUUUUUGUCUUUAAAUUGUAAUUUCUUUCAUAAAAAAAAAAAACCCUUGUCAUUUUUGGUUUAAGAAAGAGUAAAUCCGUGUACUAAUCCAAGAAGAAUUUAGGGUUUUUUUUUUCUUUAUUUGUUUGGAAAAGAAAACCGAGUCCCGAGCCAAAUGCUCGAAUGUUUUUUAGGAUGUUUUAAUAAAGCAAAAAGUGAAAAUAUUUUUCCAGCAAUGCAAUGCACCAAAAUCCUCUGUCAGAAUAUAUUUGGGUUGUAUAUUCUACAAUGACAAAGAGGAUUUUAAGACAUUGAUCUCCACCACAAAGUAUGGAACAUUAAUUCCCCCUCACCAUCAUAUAUCCCAAGUCCCAACCUACACAAAGCCUACACCAAAAGGAAACAGAUAAAACAAUAACGUUUAUAGCAAGAUUAUGACGAAGACAAAGAUUGCGAUGAUGGUUUGUUUGCUGAUACAAGGAAAGAAAAACUAUAUUGGAAAGUAAUAAGGAAUCUUUAAAAUGAAAGGAACAAAUCAAAUCAAAGGAUAAUAGAUAAAACGAUAAUGAUCUUCACACAGUACUCUUGGCCUCUUAGGCCAUGUCAACCAACAAGGGACAAUAAAAUUAUUCAUAUUCAUGAGGAAAACGGGACACCAAGGUGUUUGCUUGCGUGACACAAGAGAAUGUUUUGCAGUUUAUGGUAGCAGGUCAAAGCCAAGAUGCAUGGCCAUGAAAACCAUCUAGUGGUCUUGGCCAUUGUCACUUGCUGGCAUACAUAUAAAAUUUUUUUUUUGGUCCGAAUAUUUGAUUCAAUUGUUUAUGUAUGUUUCUAUAUUCUUUGAAUUGGAUUCAAAUCUCUCAAUUUUUAAAUAUAAAUUUUUUUGAGGUCUUUAAUUUCAUGUAACAUUUAUAUAACAUAACUAGUUUUAUUUGAGGUAAAAAUCAUUAGAGGUAUUCAUUCUAUCGAUUUGAUUAAUUUUGACUCGAAUUAUUUAAAAUUAUAUUAUUUUAUUUUAUUUUCGUUCACUGAACUGAAUUUAUAAAAUUUUAAAAAUUAACCGAUCAAAUUUAAUUUGAUUGGUUUUGUUAAAUUUUUUUAUUAACAGAAUAAUAAAUAUAUUUAAGUUAAAUUAAAUUAUAAAAUCUUAAUUUCUCAUAUUUUAAACAAAUUGAAUAAAAUUAUCUAACAAAAUAUUCAAAUACUAAUAUAUUACUUUAAAAACUCUAACAACUUAUGAAAUUACAUGAUCCAUUUCAUAUAUUUUUUAUUUUAUAUUUGGAUUAUAUUAUAUUUCAAUUAAUUUAGUUUUCGAAUUUAAUUAGUCAAAAAACAAAAAAAAAAUUUUUAAUUUUUUUGUUAACCGAUUGUAAUUAAUUUGGUAAUCGACCUAUGAACUAAAUUAAAUCAGUUUCAUAGGUUAAUUCGAUUAAAAUCGAAUUAUGAGCACUCUUAGAAAUCAUUGAAUUUUUUUUUUUUUAUAGAUUUGGAUAUUGGAGAUAUGAAAGAUAUAUAUAGCUUUUAUAAACAAAUAUUAUGUUAGUAAAAGAAAAGCAGAAGGUACAUAAGGUAGUGUGUCUGUUUGUUGAUAAAAGGAAAGACAAAAGAUAAUGGAGAAACAAGGAAUAGUGUUUACAAUAAAAGCAUAAAAUCAAAGGAUUAAUUGAUAAGGAUCGAUGAUGAUCUUCGACUCACUCUUUUAGACAAUCGAUCCACCUUUGUCUACCAACGAGAGGCUUGCGUGACAGACCAGGAUUUGCCGCUUCAGGUUGCUGGUCAAGCUGAAAUGGCCACGGAAACUAGAUGUAGAAUUCAUAGGACAUCGUGAUGUAGGGCAUGAUCCCUUGUUUUGGACCCAAGGCUGAAAUUUUAGCUAGCGACCCAGUCGGCUAGGACCAGCCUUGAGAAGAGCUAAACAAAACAGCCCAGUUCAGUCUCUUUAUCUUUACUAGCCCGUUUCAGUUCAAAGAACCUGGUUUUGGUCCCUGGUUAAAUCGGUACAAAGCCAUGGCCCGUCAAGAACAACCCACGUCCGGUUCAAUUAAAGAUAAAAGCAUCAAAUCCAAGCAGAUUCCGGUCUUUAAUUGAGGAUUUCCACGGACAAAAUAAAUGGACAAUAUUCGGUCAAAAAAAUACAAGUGGAUAAUAUAUUUAAAUAGAUUAGUUAUAUAAUAAUAAUUUUAUUUUAUAAAAAUUUAAAAAAUAUAUACUUCAAUUUGAUUUGAUUUAAAUUUUUUAAUUUUUAUUUAAAAUUUAAUUUAAAUUUAAUUGGAAUUAAAUAAAAAAAUCAAUUCAAACCACGAAUUAGUUCUUUUUUCGCCUCUAAGUCUAAAUAGAUAAUAACUCUAAGAAAAAAAAAAAAACCCAAAAGAGAGAGAGAGAGAGAGAGAAACGCCGUCGUUUGAGACAAAAUUUCAUUUUCUUCGUUUAAACACUUUGACUCCGUGUCAUAACGUUGAAUUAUCCGUUCAGAUGAUAUGUCAUAAACCUAAUCCAGUUAUCCAUUCCCAGCUGUCUUCCCCUACCAUUCGCACGUGUCACCUGCCAAACCCUAACCCCUUUUCCUCUUUUGAUAUCUUUCCUUUCCCUCCCCUUUCUCCCCUUCCCUCUUUCCAUUCCAUCCUUAUCCGUGGACUCACUUUAUGCACAACAGCAACGCACCCGACCACACUGGAUCAGAUCUUUGUUCUCCUUUUAAGACAACAACGACAACAGCUGCUCCUAACAGCUACAAUAGAAACAAGAGUUUCCUCUCUUAAUUUGUACUUCAAAAAUCCGUACGUGUGUUUUGUUUUUUUCUUCUUGAGCCUUACGUGGUUAUCUUUCUAUCCUUAAUUCUCAGCCGUUAGAUCAUUAUUUUCUUUUUUAAGUGUUCCACUUGGACUUCCACCUCACUUCUCCCUUCAGCACCACGAAAACAGGUCCUUUUUUUUUUUUUUUCUCUUUUCUUUCCUAUUUUUACUUCUUGAAAUUUGUUUUUACCUGUAAUUUAAAAUCAUUUAGUUCUUUAUACCAUUAAGAAAUUGGUUUCAUGAUCUUUUGAGCUUUGCUUCUGUUUGACUACAGGGAAUCCCUGUGGGUUAAGGCUCCUAAUCUUUGGAUAAGAUAGUUCUUUACCAUAUUUAUGGUAAUAAUAAAUUGAUUUAUGGUCUUUUUUCUAACAUGACUGGGAAGGAGGUGGAUGGAUUCCAGCUGUAAGACGUCUAUUGCUGGUCAACGUUAGGUUUUUACUAUAAUCUAUAAUGGAAGGAUAAGAGGGUUAAAUGUUGACAACCUUUAUCUUUCGGCUCCUAAAAACAGUUACUGCCAAGUUAUGGUGGUUUUUUUUUUUUCCCUUCUAAUGUUUGGUUAAUUUAACAACAGUUGAAAGAGUUGAAUGUUUUCUAGGAAACAAAUUGGAAAGAACGAAUAUUGUGUUUUUUUUUUAAGGUAAUUUUUGGAAUUCAAGAAUUGAUGUCAGAUAACAUGGUGCUUUCCUCUGACUUCUUCAGUUGUUAGGACAGGAUGGAUGUUCCAUUUUAUGUUGGUUUUAUGGAAGAUCAGAUUGUUUUGUUUUGUAGUUUAUGGUGUUAUGGUGUUGGUAAGCUUUCAGUUGUAUUAUCUUUCUUUUUUGAAGUCGUUUCAUGGUAAUAUGCUGAUAUUGAAAUUUGCAUGGAUUUAUGUUCCAUGAAUCAUGUUUUGGCUUGUAAAAUACAAAAACCUUGUGAAGGCUCGGAUGUGAUAACAUUUAUCUGAUUCUGCAUAUUCCAAAUAGCAAGCAAUAGUUUAUUGUUUGUUUUUUCCCUUGUUAGCCGUGACAUUGGUAAGUAAUUCUCUUUUGACCUCUCAUUUCUGACAUACGUGGUUGCUUGGUAUCGGGUUCUCAGGUGCUUCAUAGAAGUCAUUAAGGAUAUACAAAUUUGAUUCUAAAUUAGUUGAAUAAAGAGGUUUACCAAAGUUAUUAUGGGAACUGAAGAGGAGAGCACCCCUGCCAAGCCUUCCAAAUCUGCAGCCUCAACUCAGGUUUAUCAUAGUUGCCUCCUCCCCACCCGAAGAAAACAAAAAAUGUGCCCAUAUCAUUCUUGUUCUCUCAUCACUAACAUGCGGAUGAGUUUUACCGAUUUUUCUACUUUGUACUUGUAGGAAGUACUAAAAACACCAUCAUAUCCUGAUUGGACAAACCCGAUGCAGGUUUGUAUAGCACAUAAACCAUAGGGUUUGAUUCUUGUUUAUGAAAUUCUUAAAAAGUCGUUACCAUGUAAGUAAUUUUUUGAGCUUACAACUCAGCUUAUUGUUUAGGCUUAUUAUGGAGCUGGAGCUACUCCACCGCCCUUUUUUGCCUCAACUGUUGCUUCUCCAACUCCUCAUCCAUAUAUCUGGGGAGGCCAGGUGAUAUUGCUUUUGAAAUCACCAUUAUGCAACAGUCUAUUUCUUUCAAUUUUUUAUCAUAACAUUGUUCUUACUUUCUCUUCUGUUGAUAAUCUUUCAGCAUCCUUUAAUGCCUCCAUAUGGCACCCCAGUUCCAUUCCCAGCUAUAUAUCCUCCUGGGGGAGUCUAUGCACAUCCUAAUAUUGCCACGGUAAUAUUAGUGUGUGUGUGUGUUUGUAUUUCCUUUUGAUUCCUAGUUAUUCACUAAAUAAAAGUUUGGCACAGAAUAAUGCUGAUCAUGAGGGCAAGGGUGCUGAUGGAAAGGAUAGAGGUGCCACCAAAAAAUCGAAGGGAACUUCGGGAAGCAAGGUUGGAGAGAGUGGAAAGGCAGCUUCAGGCUCUGGAAAUGAUGGUCGCUCUCAAUGGUGCAGUAGCCAUUUGAUGUUUCAACCUUUUCUCUAACACAAUUGUACAUUUAUUCUCAACAUUGGGUUUUGGUUAAAAGAUUUCUUAAAUUUCAUGCGUACCUCUAUUAAUUGUAAGUUCUUUCUUAACAGCAGUGAAAGCGGCAGUGAGGGUACAUCAGAUGGAAGUGAUGAGAAUAAUCAACAAGUAUGUUUGUAAUUACCAUUAUUUGAUUAUAAUCAAGGGCAUUGACUACUUUAGAAAUUCAGUUUCCCUCGUCAACAUGGUUUACUGGCUAGCAUGUUAUUACGAUGAAUUGUCCUUUCUAACGAAUAUGUGCCUUUUUCUCUUCAGGAACCUGCUGCUGAUAAAAAGAGCUUUGGUCAGAUGCUUGCAGAUGGUAUGUUAAGUUUCUGUAUGAAUUUCUGCUUUUAUAGUAGGAUAAAUCACAAAAACGAGCUUCAGGUUAUUUUGAAAAUAAAGGGUUUCUCUCUAUGAUCUCAGAGCACAAACUUACUCCCUGGAGAUAUUAUAAAAUCGGGAGUGGGGAAAGUGUUGUGAGGAACUAUGUGUAUGAAAAUAGGAAAAAAAAAAAAGAGUUGCUAAGUGUACUUCUUGUAAUAAACUUAGAGUUGAUUUUGUUGAUUUGUAUACCGUGAUAAGUUUCUUAUUUCAAAUAGCUCUUGUUACCAGCCAAUGCACAGAAUAAUACCACUGGGGCUUUAGUUCCUGGGAAACCCGUAGUCUCUAUGCCUGCAGCUACUGUGAAUAUAGGGAUGGACCUAUGGAGUGGAUGCCCUGCUGCCACAGGAGCUGCAAAAAUGAGACCCAACUCAUCUGGUGCUGUAGCCACAGUUCCUGCUGGAGGUGUGAUGCCUGACCAGUGGAUUCAAGUAUGAGCUUUAGUUGGUGGUUUUUGUUUCUUAUUUUGCAUGUUUAUUCAUUACUAUUUACUCCAUUUCUAGUCCAAUAUUCUGCUCCUCAAUUGUUAAAACCUGCCCUAGUUCUUAAGGUCUAACUUUAUUUGCUCCCUUUUACAUCCUUUAAGCGGCUAGAGCAUUUUGGAUGUGACUUACUUCUGCAUUUUGGCUUUCGAUAUCAUAUACUUCUGCUAUUUGGUGUUUUUAACUAAAUUGGCGCUCUGGGUUCUUGCAGGAUGAACGCGAGUUGAAAAGACAGAAGAGGAAACAGUCUAAUAGGGAGUCUGCUAGAAGAUCAAGAUUACGCAAGCAGGUCGGCUGGAUAUUGGCAUUCGUCAACAAAUGGUUCUAGAACUUAUUUCUAUAUUUUAUGAAGUAUUAUACAGCUUUGGCUUAAGAUACGUCGCUUGUAUUGGUGUUACCAUAGGCGGAUUGUGAAGAGCUACAAGCCAGGGUGGAGAACUUGGCGAAUGAAAACCGCAACCUUAGAGAGGAACUAAAGAAGCUUUCUGAUGAAUGUGAGAAGCUUACAUCAGAAAAUAGUUCUAUUAAGGUAUGGAAAGGCUACCCUCUUUCACCCGACACUUUACCUGAGAUAUUUUCAUUUUAUCAAUGCUCAUCUAUCUUUGUUCCUUGGUUACAUGCUUCCUCGCUACUAUUAUCUACUCAAUGGAGGGAGAGUGAAACCUCACAGAUCAGUAAACACUAGUACCAGUAUCAUUUAUUGAAUAUGUUGCAAACCUGCUAUUGUCACAGGCUGAGAACUUAAGCCUGAACUUAAGCCUAGCUGCCGUGCUAUACGUGGAUCAUGACACUAUCACUUCUUCCUUGUGCGUAGUUUUGAAUUUAUUAUCUACAAAUAUGAUUUGCUUCUUAUAUAACAGGAUGAGUUGAUGCGGUAACUAACCUCAAGCAUGACAACCCCUCUUCGAUUCUCAAGUGACGAGGUGGUGAGGGGAAUUCUUAGGAAGGAAACCUACCGGAUAACUUGCAGCCAGUGCAGUAAUUUCUUAGUAUCCAGCCAGGGCAUUAGUUUUCCAUACAAAUCUAUGCCUUUAACCCUUUAUAACUGUAAUAUGUAUAUCACACGCACAAAGUUUUAACCAGAGUUCAAAUUGUUGUAUUGUAGUUGAUUGGGAGACAGGAAGAGUGAUUCAACCACUAUUCAGAUUUUGACCACAUUUGGAUGUUAGUGUUUUUAUUUAAAAUAGAAAUAAACUUUGUCUAUGUUGCCAUGUAACGAUUAAUGUGAGAAGCCGGCAUCAGAAAUGGGGAAAAUGAGAUCAAAUUUUUAUUAUAAGAAUGCUGCCUGCCUACACCCCAAAAGAAGCAGCAAUCAUGCUGCCUGUCUCACAUUAAAGGCCAAAUCUAUAACAUAAAAACACUACCCCAGGUAAAACAUGGUACUAACCUACAGCUCUCUCCUUUGGGAAAGAGAAACUAAAAGUCAGUCGUGAUCAGACUCUGGAUUUGAGAUGAUUCUUGUUCGUCAGUCAUGAUCAGAUUCUGGAUUUGAGAUCAUUCUUGUUUGGCCACUGAUUGCACGUAGCCCCUUUGGUUCACUCACCUUUGGGCGUGCUAGCCCAAUAACAAUAAGUUUUAGCAUGAUACAGAGGAAAGUAGGGAAAGAAGCAAAUAAGCUAGUAGUUUUAAGUGGUAUUAUGCUCACCGGAUCCUCUAAUCUUCUUGAGCAUUGUCCUAACAAAUUGAUACUCUUCUGGGCGCGUGCUGAUGAAUCUUGCCUGCAUAUGGAGAAGUGCAGAAAAUCUCUUCACAUCCACAUCUUGUUUAUAAAUUGGAAGGUGACAUAGGAAUUGGAACCAAACGCGGAUACCAAAGAAAGAGCCAUGUCAAAAUAUAACCUAAUAAGGCGGGUUACAUACCAUUUCAGCACAUGCAAAGCCCAUAAGUUGAUCAACUCCAGCUUGAUGUUUCAACAAGAAAGGACGCAGGUGGUUCUUGUAUAUUUGCUUAGCCCCCUGUUUAAAGCAAUUUCAUACUAUGAAUAAUGCCCACCUAAAUUAAAAUAUAAUACAGACAAAGGUAUCAAAAAGAAAAACACAAGCAGAAAAGUAAUUAGAAACAAAAUAAGUAAUAAAUGCAAUUAAACAGAGGCAGAAAAACAACAUAGAAGAUAAAUAAAUAAAUAAAACAAAAGAAAUAAACAUCUCAGCACCUCAUUUACCCUGGCUUUCGGAAUAAAUGAACAUUCAAACAUGAUUUUGAACUUACUUCAGUAGAUGGAAGUUGAAGCCACACAAGAAAUGCAAACUUGAAGUGAUAAUAAUAUGGAAACCUGUGAGAUGCGAAUAAAUAUUGAAUAAUGUAGCAAGUCAUGUAAAAUGAUGCAUAAUGGAAUAUCAGACAGUUUACGCACAUAAAUAUGUUACCAGGAAAGAAGUUUGUCAGAGAAUGCUUCAACAAGGGUGAAAGAUCCAUAAGCUGCAAUAAUGAGAAGUUCAUGUACAUCCAGAUUUUCAUUCAAAUCAAUAAUAAUUCAUUGAUAUAAUUCAUAAAAUUCACCACAUCAACAUGACACAAAAGUCGAAAAAGAAAACAAGCAAAAGAAAAACCAAAUGCAGUAAGCAAACCUUGAGUUAUUACCCAUCAAAAUCCUAAUGAUUACUUCUACUCUUUUUGUUAGUUAAUGUUGUCUCUUUUUACAGCUUGUGUCUUCAUUUUUAUUCCAAAGUGUGUUAUUCAUUUAUUAUAUGAAUUUGUUAUUAGCUGCCCCCUCUUCCUUAUGAAUUAUAAAAUGAAAAGAGGUAAGAAAGAGUCACACCAGCCCUUUAUAUGCAUUUCCUAACAAAAAAUGGCGCCUGAUCCAUAGAAAACAAUGGGAGGUCAAUGGAAGCAAUGCACAACCAUUUAUUGCUACCCAACUAAAUUAAAUUAUCUUAACAAAGAACCCUUUAGGAUUCAAGUUUACAAAAAAGAAUUGAAAGAAGGUUUUGACUUGUAUUGGCAAAAAAACAGCAGUAUAGAAAACAACGAACUUCCAUUUUCUUUAAGAAAAUGGAAGAUGAGAUGAAUAUUCCUACAGUAUAGGGAAGAUGGUUAAAGUUCAAAAAUUAAACAAAACGGUGACGAUUGCAAAUUAACAGAGAAAAAUUAAAUAACAAUUUGCCAACCUGCCCAAUAUGUAAGCCACUUUUGCUGCUCAUUUGCAUCAUUCCUUUCGAUUGCCCUAAAUGUAGAAUAUACAGGUAAAACAAUUCCCACAGAACAGCUGCAACAGACACAGAGACGCACACAAAAAGAGUUCAGAUUGAAAUCCACAAAGGGUGAUUUCAGUUAAUGCUGGAGUUUAAAUUCAAUAUUUCUUCGCAUAUUAACAGAAAAAAUCAGGAAACAUAUCAAGCAAGACAAUAAGAGACAAGCAGUAGAUUCAAAUAAAACACACCAUGCUGCACGUGUAACAAUGUUGGAACCAAGUGGGCAGAGGAGCAACCGUAGCCCAACCUACAUUACAUGGUAUGCAAAUGAUUCAGAAGCAAGGUAACAAGCAUCAAAACUCAACACUAUAGUUUAAACCAAAUAAUAAAAACAUAUACAUCUUUCUAUAAAAUAUAAAUUCCAAAAGAAAAUUGUACAAAAACAAUGAGCAUGAUCUAGGCAAAGAAAUGAAAUUUAUUGCAUUCUCUAACUUAAGCAAACAUGGAUAAUCCACAAAAGGAAAAAGGAAGAAGCAAGAUAUUAUUAUUGCUUCUAAAUAUCUCAAAUUUUCUAAAUUAACUCAAAGAGUAAUAAACAUCAAAAAGUUAUUUCUACUUUAAUCCAAGAAUAAGUGAUUUCAAUGCUGAUUUUCAAAUAAACAAAAAAAUUAGAUAUGAUAAUUUAAAAGAUGACACGGUAACAUAAUUAAAACACGAUAUGAAAAAUCGAAAUGAAGGUGACAUGAUUUAAAAUUUUAAUAAUAGUUAUAUAGAUUUAACAAAACAAAAAUAUAUAUAUUUCAUGUUUUUAUAUUAACACGAAUUAUAACAAACAAUUUUCAUGUAAAACAGAUACAAAUAUAUGAAUUUCACUAUUUUACACCAAUCACCGAGUCUACAAAAAAUUAAUCAGUUUAUAAUCUGAUAAUUGAUGUUAGAUUUUGCUAAUGGUUUGGAGGGAAAUUAAAUCAGAUUUAAACCGAAUCUCAACUAGAAUAUAAAUCGCUGUAUAGGUAAACAGAUCCAAAAGAGUGAUCAAACGAAAUAUAGUAAACAAAUGAAAGGGGAAGAAACCGAGAAAAUAAGAUGAAAAGAGAAGAUGGCUUCGAACCUCGCUGGUUACAUUGGAUCCGAGAAAAGCCAUUCCAGGAUUGUGCGGAGAGAACCCAAACUAACCACUGUUUUUAACAUUUUAAUUACCGCUAAAAGUUUCUUUUGUGCUUUUGCGGGGUUACGGAGUUUUCGAAUGGAAAUAUCCAAACGAUGUCGUCUGGUGAAUCCCAUGUUUCCGUCUGGCUUUAUUUUAUUCAUGAUUGGGCCACAACGGGGCAGAUUCAAAUCGGAUUAAGAUAAUACAUAAAAAAAUUUAGGAGAAACAAAUAAUAGAAAUAACAAUAAAAAAAAUUUAUAUUUUUUUAUGACACAAAUUAUAAUAAUAAUUUUAUAUAAAAUAUAAUAUAAAUAUAUAUAUUUUAAUAUUUUAUAUAAUAUAAAUAUACAAAUUAUCAAAUAUUUAUUUUUAAAAUUAAUCAAAAUAACUCCUGAUGCUUGGAUGUAUAUACUUAAUUCUUUAAAAACUAAAUGAUGGAAUAAAAUUGUAAUUAAUUAAGUUUGAGUAUAUAACUUAUAAAUCAGGAUAUAUUUUGGGAAGAAAUUUUUUAAUGAACUUACAUGUAUUUAUAUUAAUAAUUAUAAAAAACAAAAAAUAAUAGAAUUUGAUUUCAUUACUGGGGAUUGCCCCCUGGGAUUCACAAGUUUUUGGUACAAAGUCUUGUUUGAAGAUUCAUAUUAUAUAAUUCUGGAUAACUGGAUAAGAAAAAACUAGUCUACCUAAAGCUUAAGGUACCCCCAGCUCUUUCAAAAUAGCUACACCAAAUUAGACCAUAAAAAUAUCCAAACACAGAAAAAAAAUAAAUUGGAUUGGGAUACAGAUAAUUACGUCCCGAAUCAAGCCUCUCCUCCUAAUCCUAUAUCCACUUCCAAGCUGACGUGGCAACCAGGGCACUCUUGCGCCAGCAAAGCACCAAUUGGGCCUGUCUUUUCGCCACCUGGAAUCCCUGAACCGGCAUCUUCCCUAACAAGCACUCAGCUUGAAAAUCCGCAAACUGACUCAAAUGCACCGCCCUCAUUCCCGCUCCAUAAAACACCUCCCUCCACGGUGGUGCUGUCCUCCGGGCAGCCACCUCCACCGCCGCCAAUAUCCUUGGCUGCAACAAUAACGUCUCAAUCUUCCUCACCCAUUCCCUACCCGCGACCGCCGCGUCCAACGACUCAAACAUCAUGGUGUAGAACUCCAAACUGUUCACGAAACUCUUCCGGAAUGACGUCGCCCCUGACUCCAUCCAUACCUCACUAUCCACAAAGACAACGACGCUUGGAUUAAUCCUCCGAAGGUCACUCAAAAACGCCGUGACGUUUAAACUGAGACAUCGGAAAAUAGACGGAGAUAAAAGAAUUGCCAUUUUUUCUCCUUCCAUAAAAUUAAAAGCUUUAAAAGACAACAUUUCGAAGGUUCGAAGAAGAACAAACUCAAUCUGAAACCUUAACUUAAGGUCUUGAGCGAACUGGAAAAGGUUGUCAUUGAUAAGCCUUGUCUCAAUGGCAUAUUCUUCGGGAACCACGGCAGUUACUCGAAUGAACUUGCAAGAAUGAUCAUCUCUUUCAGAUAUUUCUCUCAUUAAAGAAGCGUAUUGACUUCCCAGUCCGAUAUCAAAAUCGAUGAUGUGAAUCAACGGUGCUGAUCCAUCCAGUGCUUCGAGGAGAGCUUGAUUGGUCGUGAAGUGAGUGAACAUGGGAAUAGGGUUGAUCCCAGAGAAGGCCUUGUAGGCUUUGAUGGUUUGAACGAUUUGGCUCCAUGAAGAUAAACUAGUCGACCGCGUUGACCCGGUUAGUAGAGACUGGAGAGCUUCUUUGAAGUAAAAAGCGGCCCUUUGUAACGGUUUCCCCGAAGGAGAUCGUAGCCGCUGAUUGAGCCGCGCCAAUAUCACCUGCGCGAGCUGCAAUUCGUGGGUGUCGAAAUAAUCCGCAGCUCUUAUCAGUUCUUCUAUAAAAUCAAAGCCCAAGUUGAAGUUACCACUAUUAUGAAAAUUACAACUAUUAGAACUAUCAAGGUAAUUAUUAUUUAGACCCGAAUAAAAAUCGUAAAGAUUGUCUAAAUCAGAAUGGAUGGAGUGUUGAGUCAACUCGCAGGGCGUGAACACGGGGAGGUUUUGGAUAUGAUUUUCGCUGCUGGGACUAAUAGCUUGAGGAGGAAUAGUUUUGAUAGCAGGCACAGAUUCGUCAUCCAAUCCCAAGUCUUUCAUGAUGGAAUCCCAAUCCAUGUUUCGCAGCACAUGCUCCUCCCACUCAAGAGGCGCCUGAUGAUGAUGAUGAGGAGGAGGAUUCGACACUGAUAUACAAUUAGAAACAUCGACAGGAUUCGAAACCGGCUUUUCUGGCACCGCCGGACUUGGGUUCCGACGAAGAUCAAGAACCGAUGUUGGCUCAUAGCAUGAGGCUGAAACACUGUUAACGAAACUGAUGUUCCUGGCUCUAGUAGUACUGUUAUCGUUAUUGUUAGCUUCUGGGGUCAGAGAAUGGUUGUUUUGUGGGGCUGUAACGGGGACUCUCAUAGCUUUCAGAGCACAAAAAAGGAAAGAGCUCUGCUUUUGGUUUCUUUGCUUUUCUGCUUCGGAGGUUAAUGUUGAAAGUAGGAGAAGAGGAUAGUGGGCCGAGGGGGGCUUUUACAGGUUAUAAUUGCUGGCCUUUUACCUUUGCACGAAGACGGAGGGGUCAAUGGGGUGAGGACAUGGCAUCGAUGAGGAUGACAAUUGACAUAUAUACAUGCUCGACACUGGUCAGACCUAUCUUCUAUCAACUUUGAAGCUUCAAAUUCAAGCUUUUGCCCUUUUUUUUUUAGGAUUCUCACCCUUCUUUUUUUUUCUUUAAAUUCAUUAAAAUUUUCAAUAUUGAUUAAACAUUUAUAGACAGGGUAGAUGCUGAUAUUAAUUAUUGAUUAACUAUUAUCAUUUUUAUAUUAUAAUGAAUUUGAAUAAUUAAUUUUUACUUUUUGAUUGUAAGAAAAUGUUGAUCAUUAGACAUUGAUUUAGGUGAUACUUAACUAAAAAUUAUAUAAAUAAUAUAAAUUUAUAUUUGAUAUCUUAUUAAUAUAUAAAUUUUAUAUAUUAUAAGUAAAUUAAAUAAUAUCUUAUUAAUAAAUAAAUAUCUAUCAUUAAAAUAAAUAUAUAAAAAUAAUAUUUAUUAAAAAAUUUAUUUAUUACUAAAAUAAUAUUAUUUUAUUUAUUUUAUUCACUGAUAAUAUAUUAAAUUUAUAUAUUAAUAAUACAUUAAAUAUAAAUUUAAUUAAUAUUAGUUUUAUAAUUUAGUGAAACUAAUAUAUUAAAUAUAAUUUUUUUAAUAAUAUCUUAAGUUGUAACCAUCCUUAUUCAUGCUUAUAGUCGGUUAACCAAACCUUAGAUUAUAUUAUCUCUUCUUUGAAUAGACAUGCAGCCAAACCCCAUAGUCACAUCAACUAAGAAAGAAGAUUUUCAUAAAGUAAUUUUAAGACUUGGAGAGGCCAUUUUAAAAAACAAUUAAAUUAAUUGAACAAAACAUCUUGCAAUCUUUAAUUUUAUUUAUGAAAUUUAAAAAUUUUAUUAUAAAUUAAUUGAUAUGUUAUUGAAAUUUAUAUUUAAAAUUUUAAAUCAAAUAUAUAAUAAGGUAAAAAAAUUUAAGAAUAAAUUAAAAAUUUUUUAAAAAACAAUUUAUAAUAUAAACCUAGGAAGAGCAAUUUCGUUUUAUAUAUCAAUUAGUUGAAUAAUUAAGUUCUUUCACUUUGUUAUUAACCAAAACAAGUACAAAUUACAUGAAUUGUUUACUGGUGAAUUUAUUUUCAACUUUGUAAUUAUUAAAAGCCUUCUUUGACUUCCUGACCAGCAUGUCUUCAUUCAAACAACCAAACCUUUUGGGGCUGCAAGAAGUUAAGAUGUUCAAACGUCAUUAAUUUUCUCGAGAACCAAACAACGUUGGGAAGUUGGGGGAGGCAAGGAACCUCCCCUAGGAUAAAAUCUCAAAUCCAAAUUCCUACCAUCCACGUAUAAGAAAAAAGUGUAGCUCAAGAAUUGACAUAUCGACGUUCACAUCGGCAGCAGCCGCCCCAUUAAAAUAAUGCACAAAAGUACAUGGAAUUCGCUUGUUGACAAGCCAAGUGGCGACGCCAAUCAAAUUGGAACCCACAAAUCGACAUGGAACUUUGACGACCAAGAUAGGGUCCCACCAGAUGUCUUUUUGUCGGAUAUGCAUGGAUGUACCCAAAGAACGAAGUCCAAACCUUAAAUAGUAGUAAUAGUAGAGCAUAGAAACCAUGCUUACGCAGGACAGCUUAGGCUUUUUGACGGCGAGAGAGAGAAAGACAGAAGGGAAUAUGUUCCGAUUGAUGGUGGUGCGUUUCCCCGAUUGAUAAGUCUCUAUCCGUCCAUUUACGUGCAGAAAAAAGAACCACAACAUAUCCAAUGGCCCCUCUUUUUUUCGGUGAGGUCUUUUAGAAUGCGGUCCUGUGGGGUCCUCUAUCAUGGACCCCAUUACAAACCUAAUCAGAACGUGGUCGAGGUGAGUGUCAAAGCAUUCUCAAAUCACAUGCCUAAUUGGAGUCCAUGGAGCAGGGAUAAUAAGGAUUCAGAUUAAAUUGUAUUUAGUAUAAUUUUUUUAAUAAUUUAUAAAUUAUAAAAUUUUAAUUUUAAUUUUAAUUUUAAAUUAAUUUUUUAAAUUCAAUUUGAUUUAUUUAUUAAUUUAUUUAUAUAUAUAAAUUUAAUAAAAAUUUAAUAUAUUUAAAUAAAUAUAUAUAAUAAUUCUUUUUUAUAAAAAUUUAAAAAAUAUAUAAAUUAAUAAAAAUAUAUAAAUCAAUUUGAUUCAAUUUUCUUUUUAAUUUUUUACAUUUUAAUUUAAAAUUUUAUCUAAACUUAUUACAUAAAUUUAAUAUAUGAUUUUAAUUUAAAUCAAAUAAAUAAAUCGAUUCGAAUUGAACAAUAAAUUUUUAUUUUAAUUUUCAAAUUUUUAGAUUUAUUUUCUUAGACUUUAUCCUAUCACCAUCUUUAUUUUAUUUUUUGUAAUUAGCACUUUAAAAAGGGAAAUUUUUUCCUACCUCCAAAAAGAUGUUUAAGCAACUUUAUUUUUUAUUUUAAUUUAAAAAAAAAAAAACAUUGAUGACUUCCAAAUAACAUAAAAUUGGUUGCAAUAUAUCCUUUGUCUUGUAGCACUUAAAUCGUAAUCAGGCUGACAUGGGUAACUUUUUUUUUGGAAUCAUGUGGUUUUCCAAAUGUUUUUAACUUUUAAAUUUUUUUCAUUAUGUUAUUAUAGUAUUUGAUUUGAAUGGUUCUGAUGCUUGGUAAGGAUCCAAUGCUAUUAAAUUAUUCAAUUUUUUUAAGUUAUAACCAUAAUUUAAUAUUAUAAUCAAUUAUUACAUUAUAAUUAAGUUAUAAUUAUUAAAUAAUAAAUUAACAAUUUAAAAUAUAAUUAAAUAAUUAAAUUCAUUAUUUAUUUAUUUAAUAUUAUUAUUAUUAAGCCAAAGCCUUGUUGACUUAAGUUAGUCAUUUCUUGAUCUCUAUAUGCAAGUUGAAAUCAAUGACAUCAAUGGUUAACCUUCUACCAAAACUUCAUGAUAGUAAAGAUUGAAUCUAGUGAAAAGAACUACGUGCAAAACACAAUAAAAUACAAAUUUAUCAUUAUAUUUAUGUGAGUGAUUCAAAUUUAUUAUCAAUCUUUUAAAAUUAUUUUUUAAAUUAUAAAACAGUUUUUAUCACUAAUUGAAAAUUUAGUGAUAAAUUUGGACUGCUCACAUAAUGGUAAAUGUGUUUUUUUUUUUUUUUUUUUGUAAUAAUUUUAAAUCUUGUUACUUAGUACCAAUUGACUUAAGUGAAACAUUUCCUUUUUUCACAUAUAUGGUUUAUGAAAGUCUUCUUUUUGAAAAUUUUUUAGCAAUUAAUUGCAAAUUUUAAAGACUAUAAUAUUUUAAAUAUAUACUAAUUUUUCCUACUUAUAUUACAAACUAAUUUGUGAUUUGAUGUUUCAUUUGGGAAUUAGCAACAUGAUUAAAUAGGAAAUAAAGUUAAACAUCAACGAAUGCUUCUAAGAUGGUCCCAUCUCCCAUUAUAAGAGCUUCUAAAUUAAAAAACACUUAAAAGGUCUCAAAGUACUAAGGUUGGGGAGAAAAAAAUUGAGAAAUUGAAAUAUCGAUUUAAAAUUAUAGUAUUUGAUUUUAUUUGGAUUGAUUUUUUUUAUUUCGUUCGGAUCAAAUUCAAAUAUUAAAUACAUAUAUUAGGUUUGAAUCAGAUUUCAAAAAAAUAAAAAUAAAAUAAAAUUGAAUUGAAUUAUAUAUUUUUCUUAGUUUUUAUGUAUAUUUUAUAUUUUUAUAAAAUAAAAAUAAUAAUUUUAUAUCAAAAUUUACUUAAUAUAAAAAUUAAAAAAUUAAAAACCAAUAAACCAAACUAAAUUGAACGGUAAAUUUUGAUUUGAUUUGAUUAAAAUCGAAUAAAAAUUAAGUUUGAAUUAUGAUCAAAUUUUAAAUUUUUAUAAUAUUAUGUAAUAUUCGAAAAAAUUAAAUCGAAUACAAUCCAAACUUAACCGUUAUCAUCCUAGUUUAAAUUUCUAGCAUACCCUUAUGGAAGAAUUAAAUUAUGAUUGCUUUAAAGAAUGAGAGCUUUCUGUGCUUAAUCAUGGACACUUACUAUAAAAUUUGCAAAAUAAAUCAAGCAGAGGAUUGUUUCGACACCAGCCUAGCACUCCAGCUCCAUCCUCUAUUAUUUUUAUAACAUGCAUGGUAAUAUUUAUUUGUCGUAAUUUAAUGAAAUCAAUAUACAUUAUUUGAGUGAUUGACACUUGACUCAAUCCUUUUAUUUAUAUGUAUCGAUUUUUUUUUACUCAUUUUUCAAUUUAAAGACAUUUUUUACUUGUUCAUAAUUGCUUUUAAUUUUAUAAUUUUUUGUCUUUACAAUUUGGUUGAAAACAGGAGAUAUAUAUAACUCAAUGAAACCAAUUUAUACCAAUAUGUCUUACAAUUCACAUAUGCAAUAUUAAUACAAAGAAUAUUCCUAUAAUUGUAUUAAAAUAUAAUGCAAAAGUAAAACCCUAGAUGAUUCCAUUAGCAUCUGAAUUCAAAUAAAGCCACUAAUUGUUCAAAAUCUCUCAAGCUGAAACCCUUACCUUAAAAAUAAAAAAAGAAUUUUAUCUCAAGCACAUGAUCUGCAUUGCAACUUGCAAAGAUUAAUACUAGUAACAUUUUAUGGGAAUAAUUUUGAGUCACAAAUACUUUGGUAUUUAGGUUCAAAAUCACAAUGUAAAGUGGUAGGGGAAGGGAAAGGGAAAGGAAAGGAAGGCUUGAAGCUCACAAAAGAUGGAAGAUGUUGAGAUAUAUAUCAUUCACAAAAAGAUGGUCUCCCAUUACCCCCUAAAAGAAAAGGCAAUAAUGAGAGAUGAUUUUGGGAUGCAUAGUGGGAAGGGUUUUCUAUCUUCUAUUCAACAAGUAACCUUACACCUCCUUUUCCAUUAUGGAGAAUCCUUAAGGAUAUGUUGAUUUUGCUUUGGAAAAAAAAACCCUUUGAUUCAAUUAAUUAUCCUUUUUUUUUUCAAUCUCCAAUAUAACAUUAAUUUAUAAAUUUUUCUUGUGAUUCCUCCAUAUUUUAUAUGUGGGAUCCUAGUCUUGGUGUUAUUUGGUGGACCAUUAGGGCUUCCCAGUCACGUUAAGGUCAGAUGUUAUAUGGUGUAUGGUUAAAAGGCCUAAAGACUUAAAGGUGUUUGGUAUAAAUAUAUAUAUAUAUAUUUAUAUCUAUUUUUCUGUCCGACUUGAAUGAUGCAAAGACCAAUUCUGAUAGUCCACUUGAUUCCGAAUUUUAAAGCAUCAUAGUCAAGCACUAGUUGGUAAUUAACUUGGAAAAAUCAUGAUGAUGUUAACUACAACAUUGAAUUUGAUUAUCAAUCAGCUUUAUGCCCAACAUUGAAUUUGAUUAUCAAUCAGUUGGUAAUUAACUUGCAUUCUCUGGGCUUUAUGCCCUUUUCCUUGUGCAAAAAGUAAAAUCAGAACCUAUAAUCCAAGCCCAAAAUUGAACAUACUUCAAUCUGCAAUAUCUAGAAAAGAGCCAGGCCUGGUUCAUCUGGUUUUCCAAGAUAAGACUUUGGAUCUUUUGUUGUGCAAGCCAGAGGCCAGGCCACCAUCAUCCCAGAGAAGUGAGACAGACUGCAGUCCAUACUCCGUAUCCACCGCCAUAUCCUUUGCUGCUGGAACCACGUGGUCGUUGCGGAAAUUAAGAAGAUGAAGCCACUCAUUCAAAUUAAUCCGCUGCAUGCUUGAUCCCUGUCCUCUCUGUUGAAUUGGAAAUUAACCACUUUGUAAUUUAGCGGGAAGAGUUCUUCCAAGCUCCUGCCACCUGUUGCAUGGGCAUGCACGUGUCUUAACAGAAUUCCCACGUAACGUAACUUUCUAACCCCCAUCACCCACUUUCUUCUAUAUAAACCAAACUAAUUUUGCCUUGGCCAACACUUAACAUAGUGUUCAGAUUCUCAUCUCUUGAAACAAUGCUGAAGGGAACCUCGUUUUUCCAAUUUUCACUUUUCACAGUUUUUUACAUUCUUGCUUCCUUUCCAAGUGUUGAAGCUUCUUUGCAUGGAAAUGCUUCGGCUUUGGGGUAUUUGGUGCCGAAACAUGAGAGGAAGCACUUAGUUUUGACAGAAUAUGGAGAAAUCUCAGCUGUUAAAGUCAGUGAUGGAAGAAGAGGUUCAUACCAUCUUCAAUUCAUCACCAUGGAGCCUAACUCCCUUUUUCUUCCAGUUCUGCUACAUGCAGACAUGGUUUUUUAUAUCCACACGGGUAACGUGAUUUUAAUUGCAAUUUACAAUGGUAUAAUUAAUCAUAUAUACAGUGGCAUGAAAUAUUUCAUAGUCUUCACAAUUUUUUCCUUGAACCGAGUUUUGGUUUAGGAAGUGGAACGUUGAGUUGGACUGAUGAUAAUGAGAUGAGGACGGUGAACAUUCGGAAAGGAGAUAUAUAUAGGCUGCAUCCAGGGUCAUUUUUCUAUCUACAGAGCAGCUUAGAGCCUGAAAGAGAGAAACUUAGAAUUUAUGCGAUCUUCUCUAGUAAAGAAGAGAACAUAUAUGUAUGACAUGCUUUCUUUCUUGUUAUUUUAAUUCUAGUAAUUAACUUGACUGCAAAAUCUGAAGACUGAGUUUUAUGUCUGUACUUUGGUCUGUAAAUUUAACAAAUGCAGGAGCCAUGGAUUGGGGCAUACUCCAGAAUUAGUGAUGUGGUCCUUGGCUUUGGUUCCAAAGUCCUCCAAGCAGCUUUUGAGGUAUGAUUUUAACUUGGAUAGUUGGUUAGAAGCUUUCUAAUUUGAGAUCUUUGUUACCCAAUUCCAUGAAAGUGGUACUUCAAUCAUUUAACUACAUGCAUGUAGUUAAAUUUGAAAUUGAAAAUGGAUAUUUCAGUUUGACAUGAAUUACAGAAAAAGAACAUGGAGAUGAUUCUGCUCUAUGCCAAUUUUCCUGCAUAAUUCUAUAUAUAAUGUGAACUUCUGUCUCAAGGUACCCGAGGAUGUGAUCGAAGAAAUAAUGAAAGCUACCAAACCACCUGCAAUAAUUCAUGCAGUACCAAAGAAGAAGAAGAUCUUCUUCGAAUGGCAAACUCGACUCCUGAAAGCCUUUCUAGGGAGCAACAGGGAUGGCUUCGAUUCUAUCAAUGGCAAGAAGAAGAAGAAAACAAAAGCAUAUAAUGUUCUUGAAGCAGAUCCAGAUUUCAAAAAUUGUAACGGCUGGAGCCUAACAGUGGACAAAAAUGACUUGCGUUUAUUGAGGGAUUCCAACAUUGGAGUUUUCAUGGUGAACUUGACAAAGGUUUGUUUACACAGCUUUUCAUAUAGAGUUAUAGUGCAUUUGCUAAAAGUGAAAAUUUUUAGUGACACCAAUUGAAAAGAUUUUAUUUGUGUAAUUUUCUGAAGGGUUCAAUGAUGGGGCCACAUUGGAAUUCAAGAGCUUCAGAGAUAGCAGUAGUGUUGGAAGGUCAAGGGAUGAUUCGGGUGGCUUGUUCGAGCAAUGCUAAUGAAUCUGAGUGCAAAAACUUGAGGUUCAGAGUCAAGGAAGGAGAUGUAUUUCUUAUACCAAUGUUCCAUGCAAUGGCUCAGAUAUCUUUCAACAAUGAUUCAUUUGUUUUCAUGGGGUUCAGCACAUCGACAAAUAGAAACUAUCCUCAAUUUCUAGCAGGGAAGAGCUCUGUCCUAGGGUUCCUGGAUAGACAGAUCUUGGCUGUGUCAUUCAAUGUCAGUAACACAACAAUUGAUCAGCUUUUAACUCCACAGAAAGACUCAGUCAUAUUUGAUUGUACUUCUUGUGCUGAGGAAGAGGAAAGCAUAAUGGAGGAGGAAAUUGAAAGGGAAAGAGAGGAAGAGGAAGAAGCCAGGAAGAAAGAGGAGGAAGAUGACAGAAAGAGGAAGGAAGAAGAAGAAGCCAGGAAGAAAGAGGAGGAAGAGGCCAGAAAGAGAGAGGAAGAGGAGGCCAGAAAGAGGAAGGAAGAGGACGAAGCCAGGAAGAAACAGGAGGAAGAAGCCAGAAAGAGAGAGGAAGAGGAAGAAGCCAAGAAGAGGGAGGAGGAGGAGGAAGAAGCCCGGAAGAAAGAGGAGGGAGAAGCCAGAAAGAGAGAGGAAGAGAAAGAAGCCAGGAGGAAAGAGGAGGAAGCAGCCAGAAAGAGAGAGGAAGAGGAAGAAGCCAAGAAGAGGGAGGAGGAAGAAAAGAAGAGAAGAGAAGAAGAAGCAAGGAAAGAGCAAGAGGAAGCCCGGAGACAGGAAGAAGAAAGGCAAAGGAGGGCGAGACAGGAAGAAGAAGAAAGGAAACGACAAGAAGAGAAGGAGAAAGAAAGACGAAGGAAGGAAGAACAAGAGCAAGAAGAACCCAAAAGAAGGAAAGGAGGACAAGGUCGAGAAGAAGCUGCAGCUAGGAAGCAGGCCAAGAGACAGGAGCAAGAAAGACAAAGAAGAGCAGAACAAGAAGAAGAGGAGGCCAGGUGGGAGAGGUAGAAGCAAGGAGGGCAACAAGAGAAAAGAGAAACAGAAGAAGAAGGCAAUGACGAGGGCCAAAGAAGAGUUCCGAAGAAAGUGUGGGAGAUUUAACUUUAAUCCAUCCCUUGUUGGAUUUUCUAGUGCUUGGUUUUUGCAUGAGUAGUGAAUAAAGGACUCUCCUGCUAUGCUAUCUUGAGUUUAGGCAAUUAGGUUCCAUGUUUAAGUUUGAUGUAAAAAAGCUUUAUGAUCUCUGUUCUCUGGAUGCUGAUCUUCAAUAAGCUCUUUCGUUUUCUUUCACCAAUGACUGAACUAAGCUCUUUCCAUUUUUUUACUCCAAAUGACAGGGUUGAGACAGCCAUUUCGGCCCUGCUUUUCUUUAUAAACCAUCCUGACUAUGAUAUAAGAUCCUCAAGCUAACAAUUAGAAAAUUUUCACCAAGCUGUUUAUUUCUUGGUUUAUUCAAACUUCCCAGCAAUUGUUAGGAUUAUUUGUCAUGCUAUAUAAUCAUUAAUCUAUGGAAGUUGUUUGAACUAACGAAGCAAGGAUCAAAAUUUGUAAAUGAAAAGGAAUAUUGAAAAGCAAAUAAGAAUAUUUCUUUCAUUAGGUUUCAUGGCCAAAAACUGAACUAAUGUGCUUUCCAACACUACAACCCACCUGUGGCAAACUUGCAGAAGACUCGCACAUUGGCAGAGCUAGUUAUAUAAGACACAACAACAGUGAUAUCGUCAAGCUUGCCACCAUAAUAGUGAAACUCAGCAUCUUGAGCAGCAUUAGGAAAUGGUGUCUGACUGUUUACCGGUCCUUAUCCACCGCUCGUUCACGAGCCCAAGAUGCUAUCUGCUUAUCCAUUCAGAAGUUUGAAAAACCCAUUAAAGUUUAAGCUCAUUGUGAUUGUCUCUUAAAAUUGGGUUUUGUUUUGGCCCAUUUAAUGAAACCAAAAGUGGGCCUUUCCAAUAUGUUAUCAGAAGGGAAAAGAACAAAGAAGAAAACCAUGAAACACUGUCUAAACAGAUUUAGUGUUUUGACAUCAACUAGACAUUUCCAAUCCUUCUACUGAUUUUGAAAGUUUUUAUAACAUCUUGUCUUGUCUAUUCAGGUCAAGGAAAACAAGAUAAACGUCUUAUAUGAUUGGCUUUAAAUCUGAAUUAUCACUGCAAUUGUCUGCCAACAAUCCUCAGAAUGACGUGACUUAUUACCAACUAAUCAAACUACUAGAUGCAUAGAACCAGACACAGAUAUGGUACAAAAAGGAAAACCCAACACGGAUUUACAGACUAGAAAUUUAUUAACAGAUUGGAAGAUCAGGAGGUGGAGGUGGUAAAGUUUGCAUUUGGCCUUUUCCAUUCUUCACUAGAAAAGCCACAGACAGUCCCAAUAUAGUGUGCACAUCCAGAUAUCCCCAUGUAGGAUGGGUUCACAAGGUAUCAUCGACCUUUUGAAAGAUGACUUUCGAGCUAAUUUGUUUACUUCCAUUUCGGCUGGUGCAUUUGACAUUGUGAAACUGAGAAUUGCAUAAGAUGUUUUAUUCAAGAAAUUAGGAACAUUUUUUGCUCGCAUGUGAGGGGCCAUGGCCGCGAAUUUUUUUUCCAAUGGGCUGAUCUGCUUUAAUCAGAAGUGAGACUGAAGGCUUUUGUGUACGCCGCAUCCGUUUCUACAACAGUCAUGGUAUGGUUAGCCACCCUGAAAAAGUGUUCCAUGUGAAGAGCUGCAUUAAUGAUUCUGAGAAGAUACUUCUAACUUCUUCCCCAACAUUAAUAGUGUAUAAAUCUGCACAAAAUUAAAUGAAAGGAACCCCGACAUCAAUAUUUUAACAGCAAUGAAAUUAAGAUAUACUUGUUUGUUCAGUGAAUUUAAAGUUGGUGUACCGUCUCCAAAGCAGUUAUGGAGGGGACCAGGAUGACCAUUCAAAAUAUAGGCAUCUAAGCCUUGGGAACCUCCUGAUUCUUUCACAUGUCUUUUCAAAUCCUGGAUGUCUCGAAGCUAAUACUCUCCUGUCGAAACAACAACCCAAAAAAAGCAUGGAAAAUUUCUGAUACAUAUUGAUAAACCCUUGUAGACUAAAGGAAGCUUGGUAAAUAAGAAACGAGCAAAGAAGUAGAAGUUAAAUACCUAGUACAAUCACAUGCUCUUCAAGGGAAGGCUCAAACGUGUAGCUAACACCUUGCCUGGGGUAGGUAAUGAGAGGACCAUGGACUGUUGCUCUUAUCUUAGCCAUGAUCUGUGAGCAUGCCAGAAGAGUGUGCCUCACCGGUUGAGCAAGGUAAAGCAGCAAGUUAGACUUUGGUGAACUCCAUGCCUUUGAUCAGAAACCAAAUCAACCGAUAUUACUGAUACGCUUAGUAGCAAUAUGGUGUGCAAGAAGAAAAAAUGAAGGAAAUUUACUAAUUUUCUUACCAGUGGAUUGAAAUGUUGUAUGGAGUAAGAUUGGUGCCUUGACAACCACUCUAUCGUCUUCCUGAACAUAAAUCGUAGGUCCAGGAUACAUCUCAUUUACAGUGACAAGUGACAACAGUUGAUGUCUUGUACAGUUGUGUACUUGAGGCUGUUUGAACUUGUUAAUUCACAGAGAUAUAUGUUUAGUCCAAUCUGUAGGACAAUUCAAAACUCAAAAAAAUGUUGAAAUUGAAGAUUAUGAGUGACACUAAACAAAAAAUUUGUCCAGAAAGACUGCCAUUGCUACUGACAUCUGAUUACUGAUAUAUAAUUUUCUUUAAAUCUUUAAAUCUCUGGGACCGGGGCCCUGCUUAAUGGAUCAAGUUGACAUUAAUACUGUCUUGCAACUGCACAAGGGGCAAGCAUCAAUGCCUCAUUAUCCACAAGGACUUGGCUUUUGCCCCUGUUAAUGUUCAAUAUCAAGCUAUUAACACAGGAAUGCAUUAAGCAUCCCCUUUCUUGUAACACUCCCUUUAGGCCAUGCUUCAAGAACACCUCCAUUAAUGGAGAAGAUAAGGAGAGACAACAAAAAACCUGCAGCAUCUUUUUGGACGUGUCCCUGCACAAAAAAAGCCUGGGGACCAAUUUAUGUGAACACCAUGGUCACUAAAAUCCAUGUUUGGAGCAGCAGAGAAAAACGAAUGGCAACAUUCUUGAUAGUAGGAGACAAGUCGUUUUGUAUAUCCUAGACUUUUUUCAGUGCUUUGGCACUUGAAUGGAAAGCUGAUGAGUUAAACCUAAUCAAGUGUCUGUUCUAAAACCUGACAGAUGCUUGUGAUAAAGUUUUCAUAUUCAAAUGAAUUUGUAAAUGCAGAGAAAAAGACAUUGCUGAUUGUAUCAAUCUUAUCCUGCCCUUCAAUCAGAAGCAGUACAAGAACGUGGGGUUCAUUGUUUUGGAGAUUGAAUAUUAUACAUCUUCAACCAACAUAUAUUUAAAAGAAAGUGCAACACAAUUUGAUAAUUUCUUAAAUAUGGCGUGUGUUAUACUUUGUCUAAUCAUCAAAGCUCACAGAUUAUUAUAUUACUUGUACUUAACUACUACUAAGAUUAAAUUAUUAACAAUUCAUCAAAUUGCAGUGAAUCAAACAAUGGAAACAAACGUGCAGAAGAAAUCAAAGACAAAAUCAGAUUUGGACUUUGGAAAAUGAAAUCAAGGGGCCAUGCCUUUCUCGUCAACCGACCACUUGGCAUUUAAAAGUCCUGGCUGGAAAGGAUCAUUGAGAUGACAUUUUCAUGGGGUCAGGACUUUAGAUGACUUGAGAAAUCAAGGAGGGGACCCCAAUAAUAUCUUCAUUUAAUUUUCCUAUCUCCAUUUUUGUGCAUGAAAAUUACUCUACAUUGCAGAGUUAUUGUUCUCUUUUUUUGUGGUCCAAUGGAUUCUGCAGUCAUCAUUGACUCAUUCUCUCUCACUAAUGCAUUGAUAAUUCGAUUUUAAUUGAAUUAAUUCAUCAAAUUAAUUUAAUUUAAUUAAUGCAUAGAUUAUCAAAUUAAUUUAAGCUAAUUAAUAAAAAUGAUUGAUUUUCGAUUAAUUUAAUUUGAAAAUCGAAUUAAUAGAAAUUUUAAUUGAAAUAUAUAUAUAUUCCAAAUGUAAAAUGAAAAAUACCUAAAAUUGAUCAUUUUAUUUUAUAAAUUGUUAAAAUUUUUAACAUAAUAUUUUGAUAUUUGAAUAUUUUAUUGCAUUUUUUAAAAUAUGAGAAAUUAUGAGUUUAAAAUAUAAUUUAAAUUAAACGUAUUUAUUAUUUAGUUAAUAAAAAAAAUUAACUAAAUUAAUUGAAUUAAAUUCAGUUGAUUAAUAAAUUCAAUUCUGUUAACAAAAAUAAAUUAAUACAAUUCAAUUAAUUUGAUUUUAGAUAAUUCGAUUCGAUUUUAAAUAAUUCGAUUUGAAAUUAAUUAAACUGAUGAUAUAUCUAUGAUUAAUGAAAAUAAAUUAAUAUAAUUCAAUUAAUUCGAUUUUAGAUAAUUUGAUUUGAUUUUGAAAAAUUCGAUUUGAAAUUAAUCAUACAGACAAUAUAUCAACCCUUACUGCAUUACGUUCAACAAGAAACUCAGGCAGAAUUUGAGUUCAUUCCCACAAUCCCAUUUCCAAAGUUUCCCUUUCUUCCAUUGAUGGAAUUGUGAGACAGUUUUACUAGAAGUGUCCAGGCACAGUUUUGUAAGCUUAGAAAGAAUGAAAAACAAAAUAAACAAAACAAAUUUAAAUUAAUUGAAAAUAUAAAUAACAGAAUGGUUUGGUUCAAACAAAGUGGAACCUUAAUCCAAGCCAAUUGAUCAGAAUCAACCAAAUUCCUUCCAUUUUCAGCAAUUUGCCAGUCCAGGUUGGUAUUCCACUUUACUGCUAAUUUUCCACUACAUAUCCGUCUAUGCCUGCGGCUACAAAUCUAAAUAGCCAAAAUACAUCCCCACCUGCUGUUUUCCUAUGUUUCCAAGAUUGAAAAACCUGACACAAAGAACGUCAGAAUGCCUCCACUAACCAAAUCUCUUGACAGAGAUGUUACUGUUCGUUUUUUUUUUCAGAUAGAGCAACCUUACACAUCCAAUGUCCUAAUACAUCUGAUAUUUGAGUUUACCUUAUUCUACAAAGGCUAUACUGCCACAACAAAGUCAUUUUCGCCAUUGUCAAGUGGAAGGCAGCAGAACAAAUUAUAUAUAACCAUCGUUUUCUUCUGCAACCCCAAAUAGUUCUAUACCAGAUGGUGCUGUACAAGGCAUAUUUUCCCCAAAGUCAAAUGGAGAAGACUAGUUCUUAUUUCUCCCAAGUCAUGAGCUCCUUCCAAUGUCCUUGCUGGUAAAAUCUCCACCUCCAAAAGAUGUUGCUGCUGCAGCAAAAUCAAGUCCACCUCCAAUGGAGGUCAUUAGAGCUGACAGGCCACCAUUGGGGCUGCCACCAGCAGCCACUCCCAACCCAAGAAAAUCGAGAGUAGCUUGCUUAGGACCAAAUACAGGAGUUCCCAUCAUCAAUUCCUUUAAUCCUGAACUUCCAUCACAAGGAAGCCCAAGUCCAAGUCCUACUGCAACAGAGGCAUUGUCAGGCUCAACUUGUCUCUGACCCCAUUGCAAAUUAUGUUGCUGUGCAGAAGAUGAAGAUGAUGAUACUAAACCCAAACCACGAAGCAAGGAUGCAUUAGUUGCUGCUGCUCCCAUCUGUGCAGCUUUCUGCAAUAGUGCUGUGGCAGACAUAGUAGGUUGUGGCGGUGGUGCAUACUGCCUGCGCUCUUGCCCUGCAGUUCCAAAUAUUGAUGAGCCAUGGCUGGUUGAAAGGCAUAGAGAAAUUGGUUCGGUAGAAGUAGAUGGAGCAAGGCCAGCUGAACAAUCUGGUCCACCCAUAGCUCGAAUUAAGUCGGUGAAAGCUGGAGAUUGUGGAGGUUGUAAGCUCGCAGAUGCAGUUGAGGAUGCGAAUAAGCUAGCAAAUACACUGCUGCUGCUGUUACCAUUGCUAACUGAGCUGGUGCUACUGCUACAAUUUCCAUUUACACCAACUGGUGCCGGAGCUGGAGCUUCUUCCACAAUAGGAGUGGGAUUUUCAGGCAAUUCUAUAACAAGAAGCGAUACAGAAGGCAGAUAGAAAAUUAGGGGACCUGACUUAAAAGUCUAAAACAUAGAGGCAUGGAAAGUUAAAUGACUUAUCUUUAUCAAAGAACUUUGGAGCAAAAAGCAGAAUCAAUAAUGGUUUCCUUUCUCUAAAUCCACUUCUCUUUUCUUUUAGCUUUUGAAUCACUUCGGUCAUUUAUCAAGAUUGCACAAAUUGAAUCUCACAGUUUAGAAAAUGGGUUUAUUUUCCUUCUAUCCUUCCCCUCCUAAAUCUCAGUCUCACCAGCCCAGUUUCUAAAACCUCCAGUAAACAACAAAGACCAGUAACAGACAAAAAAACUACUAUGCUACAAGAUUCAUCCAGAGACAUAAUAACAACAAAAAACUUUGUCUUCGUUUUAUUUAAACAAAAUCAGAACGGACAACAUUUAAACUACAAGAUCGAAAAUUUCCAAAUUUGGUAAUAUAUAAAACUUACCAGAACUUUGAAUUGGCAAAACUGAAGAAGAUACAACACUAGUUGACUGAGGCAGAGCUGGUGCAGCUGGAGUUGGAGUUGGAGCUGGAGCUGGAGCUUGCACUGGUGGUGGUGAUGGUGCCGAUGCCGUCAAAGGUGGUGGUGAUGAAUCCACAGCCUGAACUUUCAGGUCGGAGUCCGAAUUGGCAUUCGCCACAGCCUGAUUCUGAUUCUGAGGCUGAGGUUGUGUUUGAGCUCUAGCACUCUCCUCUGCUAACGCAUCACAGAAAGCCCUAUGGUUAAUAAAACUAUCCCUCCUGCAAAAAACAAAAUUAACAAUCAAUCCCACAAAAGAUCCAAAAUUUUCCAAUACAAAUCGAAUAUGUAGAUUGUUUUGAAUACCUGGAAAACAGUGUUCCACAAUCACAUUUGUACUCUCGAGUACCACAAAUCUUAGAGUGAGCUUUCCAAUCAGAUUGAACAGCGUAUUUUUUGGAACAUUUGUCGCAUUUCCACUUUUUUUCUCCAUGUUUUCUACAGAAAUGUUUCUUAAUUCCCGUAAGAUCGCCUAAAGCUCUCGAUGGAUCGUGAUGGACGCAUGUGGACUCAGGACAAACAUAAACUCUCUUCUUCACUUCCUUACUCGUUCUCUGCCUCAGCUUCCAUGGUAAAUUAUGGCCUCGUCUAUGAAGCUGAAGAUUUUGGUCCCUUUGAAACCCUUUAUUGCAAAUUUCACAAAUAAAUCGGUUCGUGGCUAGAAGAGUCUUCGGAGAUAAAGCAAUCACCUCUGCAUCUGGAUCUGCAGCAACCCCAAAAAAAAUUGUAAUUGAUAACAAAAUAAGAAACCAAAAAUAGAAAAUAGGACAAAGCUUGGCAGUUUAUUGACUAUUGGAUAGUUACUUUACUGUACCUGGCAUUCCAGGAAGGUUACGCUUCUUCUUGACGGUGGAUUUCGGAGGCGGGUUUUCGUUACCGGUGGAAGAGACGCUAGCUUCACCGGAAGCAGCGGAGGAAUUAUCCAAGUCAGCCGGCAUGACUCUAAAAACUCUUUGAAUCAAACUACUAGACAAAAAAAAAGUGAAAACUCUAGAGCAUUUAUUUCUGCUUCUUCUUCAAGGGCUUUGUUUUAAGGUCUUUUCUCUUUUAUCUACCAGUCAAUCUUCUUUUCUUUUCUUUCUUUUUGCCCUUUAGGCCACUUACCAGCUCUCUUCUAAGUUUCUGACCAAAAUUCACAUUACCCAAAGAAGCAAAAUGAUUAAACCCAAACACUAAAAACCAGCUCUUUCAACUCUAAAGCUUUAAAAGUUCAAUCCCCAAAAAAAUAAUCAAAACCCAGAAAGCAAAUCCAAUCAAUAACCCCAGCAGCUGAAAGAUCCAACGGUCAAAGCUGAAUCAAAGAACAUACCAAUCUCAAACUACACCAAAUAUCUUAAUAAAACAGAGAAAGAGGAUCAGAUAUGGAUAACUUCAGGUGAAAGUUUUUAGAGAAAAGAAACAGAAAUAAAAGAGAGAGAGAGAAACCUUGCCAAAAGUUCUUUGGUCUAAUUAUUCUUCCUGGCUUCCUUUCCAGAAGAGAUAAAAAAGAACAAAUAACGUUAAAGUGGUACUAUUUUUCAUGUAAUAAAUAUUUAAUUUUAUAUAAUUUUAUAUUUAAAUUACAUUCAUCGUUAAUUAAUUUUAAAUUUAUGCUUAAUAUAAUAUUAAAGUCAAAAUAUUUUUUAUUUUUUUUAAUUUAUCACAUGAUAAUUUAUUUAUUUUAAAUUAUAUAUUUAACAUGAUAUUAAAAUUAAUUUUUUUUAUAUUACUCUUUUUAAAAUUUAUCAUUAUGUUACUUUUUUUAAAUUUAUUAUGUCAAUAAAUUUUAAAUUAAAUAUUUAAUAUGAUAUUUUAAAUAAAUUUUUUUUGUUAUUUUUUUCUAAAUCUAUCCUUUUCUCUUUCUAAAUUUAUCUUUCUAUUAUUAUUCUUAAAUUUAUCACAUAAUAGUCAAUUGAUUUUAAAUUAUAUAUUUAAUAUGAUAAUAGAAUCAAAAUUUUUUUAUUUUUUUUAAAUUUAUUACGUAAUAAUUUUUUUUAAAAUUUUUACCAAUAUAUGAUAAAAAUUUAUUAAAAUAAAAGUAUUUUAUAUUUAAUAAAUAUUUAAUAUUUUAUAAUUUUAUAUUUAAAUUAAAUCUUUCACUUGUUAUUAAUUAAUUUUAAGAUAAAUAUUUAACAAAUAAAAUAAAAAAUUAUUUAAAUAUUAGUGUUAAGGGUGAUUUGAUUAUGUUAAUUUAAUUAAUACAUUGUUUAAGAACAAAUAAGAGUUUGGGAUUUUCUUUUACCGUUCGCUCGUGGUUUUUGAGCAAGCUGUCGGGGGCCUGCUGUUUUGUCGUGUAGUGAAGUUGUCUGAGUUUCUUUCGGACAAGAGCUGAAUGGCUGGUCGCCGGUGUUGCUUUAAAUUCAUAAAAAGUCAAGCUACUUUUGUCAUUGAUUGGAACUUUUUACUACUUUAGCCAAUUCAAUUUUGACACGUGUUUUGGACAACUAGGACAGAAUUUGUUUGAUUGUUGCUCUUUUUACAUUGUUUUUCGUUUUCCUACUUAGAAGAGCACCCUGUCCUGAAAUGGCAACAAUUUUUUUGAUAAUUAUAUGGACAUUUUUUCUUUUAUUUCAUAUUUUUUAUAUUUAAUAUAUUAUUCAUAUGUAAAUUUUAUAUACUUUUAUUAAAUUAGAUGGUAUUAUUUUAUUAAUAAAAUGAAUAAAAUGAUAAAAUGGGUUAAUGAAUAAACUUUUUUAAAAUUUAUUUUUUUAUGUAUUUAUUUAAUAAUUAAUAUUUAUUUAUUAAUAAAAUAAAUUUAUAUUCGAUGAUAAUAUAUAAACUUUAUAUAUUAAUAAUACAUAAAAUAUAAAUUCGUUUUUUUUUUUCCCUUUUAAGAUGGAUAAAGGAGAAUAUAUGUGAGGAAUUGAUUAAUAUUCAUCUUUCUCCUUUUAAUUUUUUUCUUCAAGAAUUAUUUUCAAAUCUAGAAAGGAUAAAAAUAAGGCCUUACACUUCAAAUAAGAUUGUGGUCAAAUAAAAUUACAUAUUGAAAAAAGAAAAAAUGAUAAAAAUUUUAUUAUAAUGACUUGUAUUUUAUAAUGAGGUUUAAAACUUUUUUAUUCAAAGGUAAACUUUUAUAAAAUAGAAAAUAUAAUAAAUAUAAAUAAUGACUAAAUCAAUUUUUAUAAUCACUUAAUCAAUAUCUAAAUCAAUAUUUAAUAUUCUCUAAAUCAAAAUUAAAUCAAUCUAAAAUAUUAUUAGAAUAUUAUUAUCAAUUUAAAAUAUUAUCAGAAUAUUUAUUACUAGAAUAUCAUUGACACCCUCUCGUAAAUUGAAGAUGGGAAUGUAGAGACCAAUUUGAGUUUGGAAACUUGGACAAUAAAUUGACCAGGUGGAUGUGAUUUGGUGAAUAUAUCUAUUUUUUAUCAACACUAGUAACAGAAACAAGUUAAAGAGUUUGAGCAAGUAGAUUGUGACGAAUGAAGUGACAGUCAAUUUCAAUAUAUUUAGUAUGCUAAUGAAAAACAUUAUUGUAAAUUAUUUGAAUGGCACUUUGAUUGUCACAAAAUAUAGAAGUAUUAGAGUGAUGGGAAAUACUCAUAUCUUGAAGUAGCCAUUGUAAUCAUAAAAGUUAUAAUGUGACAUCUGUAAGAGCUCGAUACUCAACUUCAGUGCUAGAGCGAGACACCAUAGUUUAUUUUUUACUUUGUCAAAAAAUAAGAGAUGAACCAAGAAAGAAAUAAUAGCACAUGAUAGAAUGAUGAUCAAUAAGAUAUCCUACCCAAUCAGCAUCACAACAACAAUGCAAAUCCAAAAAGAAACUAGAGACAAAAUGCAAACCAUGGAACAUAAUACCCUUAACAUAUCGUAGGAUCUGGAGGACAAUGACAAAAUGAAUAGUCGAGGAAUAGAUAGAAAUUGACUAAUCAGGUGAACAACAUAGGCAAUAUUUGGACGAGUAACUAUUUAGUAAUACCAGACUACCCACCAGAGUUUAAUACAAAGAAUAGUCUGAAAGUAGUGUACCAUCAGAAGAAGAAAGCUUCAAAUUCUGUUCAAGUGGUGAUAAUGCAAUCUUACUAUCAGUUAAACCUGCUCAAAAAAUAAGAUUAGAAGCAUACUUUGUUUAAGACAAUUAUAAACCAGUAGAAUCAUUAAUGACUUUUAAGACCCAAAAAUAACUCAAAGGAUCAAGGUCUAUCAUCUCAUAUUUAGAAUGAAAAAAAGUUUUCAGAUCUUGAAUACCAUUUAUGUCAUUACCCGUAAUGAUCAUGUUUUUCACAUAAAGUAAGAGAAGAGUAAUACCAUUUUUAGUAGUUUGAGUAAAAAAGGCAAAAUCAUGUUUACUAGAUAUAAAAUCAAGUUGAAAAACAGUAGUACUAAACUUCGAGAACUAAGCUAUAAGGGCUUGCUUAAAACCAUAUAAAGCACAUCGAAAAUGAUAGACCAUGUUAGAAAGUACGGAUGAACCAGGAAAUGGUUUCAUAUAGACUUUAUCGACGAAAUCACCAUUUAAUAAGGCAUUUUUAAUGUCCAUUUGAAAGGUUGGUCACUUUCUAACUAUAGCAUCAGCUAAUAAUGAAUGAACAAAUGUGAAACGUGCAACUAGGGCACAAGUCUCUUCAUAGCUAAUGCCAUAUUCUUAUGUAAUCUUCAAGCAACAAGACAAAUUUUGUAAUGUUCCACUAACCCAUCAGAUCUAGUAUUGAUCUUGUAGACCUACUUACAAUCAAUCGUUGACUUAUUAAAAGAUCGUUCAACAAUAUUCUAAGUAUGAGUUUUCUCAAGAGCUUGAAGCUCCUCUACCAUUGGUUGCUACCAUAUAGGAUUAGAGACAACUUCACAAAAAUUGAAAGGUUCAUGUAACAUGACUAAAGCAUAAUAACAAUGAAAAUCAUGAAGUUGAGUAUUGGAUUCCCUUACUCGGGUAAAAUGAUGAAAUGGAAGCGAUAUGUAUGGGGAAAUGACAAUUGUAUUAAUAAAAGCAUCAGUUAGAUCAGACAUAGUAGGAGUAGAACAAAUUGAUUAUUCCAAAGUGAUUCACCUUCGAAAUGAAUCAUAAAAUAGCUUUGAUACUAUGAAAAAGAGAAAAUAAUAAAAACUUUAUUAUAAUGAUUUGUGUUUUACAAUAAGGCUUAAAGCUUAUUUAUACAAAGGUAAACUAUUACAAAAAUAAAAAAUACAAUAACUAUAAAUAAUGACUAAUUCUAUAAUCACCUAAUCAAUAUAUAAUAUUCUCUAAAUUAAUAUCAAAUCAAUCUAAAAUAUUACUGAAAUAUUAUUAAAAUAAUAUCAUCAAUCUAAAAUAUUACUAUAAUAUUAUUGACACACAUCAACAGUCUUAUAAUUUGUUAGAAGAAUGUUAAAUUUUAAAUAAUAAUAACAAUUUAAUUUUUAAUAAUUUUAAAUAUAAAAAAUAAAUAAUGUUGAUAAUAAUGUUAAAUUUCUUCCACUAAUGAGUACAUCACGUUAUCGGUAUUUAUAAUUACAUAUCAAGAAUAUUAAUCUUAAUUUUUUUUUUUUGGUUAUUUAUACUAUUCACAUAUAUUAUAUAUGUGUGUAUGUGCGAGAAUGAUUCUUUUACAAAAUACGUUUCAAUUUCAAAAUCAAAACUUUUGAUAAGUUUAUACAAGUAAAAAAGGUAUUGUUUUAUCAAGUAGUAGUAUCUUUUUUACAUUUGAUUCUUGUUUUAGUUUAAAGAUAAUGACUAUGAAGUUUUGAGUUUCAACUUUCAAGUAGCAGCUUAGAGAAAUACAACCAAAAGACCAGCAUGUUUUUUUUUUUUUUUUUUUUGCACACUCCAUCAUGACUCUCAUUGUGUUGGGUGCUUUUUAUUUUAUUUCUUUUCCAGUUCAAACCCUUCAUUAUUCUAGGCAUUGAUAUGAUAAUGGGGUCUCCACAAUGUUAAUGUUUUUUUUCUUUUUUUCGCAUUUUAGAGUUAGCAAAGUCAUUUAAAUUUGAUCAUUUAUAUAUUCGUAUCGUAAAAAAAUAUUAAAAUUUAUAUAUUUAUAUUAUAUUUUAUGUAAAAAUUAUAUAUCAUAAUUCGUAUUAAUAUAAAAAUAUAAAAUUUAUUUUUUAUUUUAUUAAAUUUUAUUAAUUAUUAUUAAAAUUUUAAACCAUGUGAUUUUUAUAUUUUAUUUUUAUAUCAUAUUUGAAAUUGUUAAGUUUGAAUCCACUUUACCAUAGCCCAAAGUCGGCCCCUCGCCUCUCUUCUACAAUCAGUUAAGUUCCAGGUUGGGAUAUACAUUCUACAAGGUAAAUCUUCCAUGAUUGGAUCAAUCGAGGAGAGAAGAGAAAAACAAGCAUCCAAUUAAAAAGAUUGCUGCCUUGGGAUACUUGCCAGUACAUCCUCAACAAGAUAAUUAAUGAUUGAAAUUUGCGUUUUACUUUCAAAUCUGUACUCAAAAGCUUGUUUGACUGGAGAUUCAUUAAAAUUAUCAGCACCCUAAAGCUAAACGCUUUCAGAUAACUAGAGAAGAAAUGGAGCAAAAGAGUCUGCUUUACAUCUGGUUUCCAAGCAUGCUGGCUCUUCCCUGUUUAGUGUUUAUAGUGUUUAAUCCCAUCAUGUUGCUGUGAGUUAGUCGGUAAUUGUUAUGGAAGUUCGUGGCUGAUUCGUCGUUGGAAUUUCCAUCUUUUGAACCUUGGCAUUUGAGACUGUUUAGAAUUUACAUGGAGAUCUGUUUUUGGUUAUUUGCCUUUCAUGGGUAAUGACAGGGUUUUAGAUUAUAAUUAGACCCAGUAGAACAGGGUUUGUGCAUUGUAAAAUAUUUAUACAUAUAUAUAUACAUAUUUUUUAUAAAAAUUUUAAAUCCAUUUAUUUUAUUUUCGUAUUAUUUUCAUAUAAUAUCUUAAAUUACUAAAUUUAAAAAAGGGUAAUUCAAAUUUUCUUUUUAAAAAAAAAAGUAUAAACCAAUUUUUAAAUCAAAUAUUCGGAUAUUCUAUAUUUUUUAUUUAACCACCUCAGAAUACUUUAAAUUCAAAAUUAAUAUUUGUAGUAUAUUUAAUCUAAUUAAAUGUUUAUUUUAUUUCUAUAUUACCAACAAAAUUUUCAAUUACAUUUUUUCUAACAGUUAAAAAUUCAGCCAUGCAUGAUUCUAAUUUCGAGGUUUUUGUCCAAAAUCCCAAUAAUAAUAAUAAUGAUAAUAACAAUAAUUAUAAAAAGGAGGGAGUAACAUUAAUCCUCAAAUUUCUGGUAGAUCCGAAAAUAAAUCACCAACAAAGAGUCUUGGAUCCUUAAUCAGCUCAUCCAAAUCCGGGAUUGGUCCUGGAAUAACAAUUUCUGAACAGCAUGUUGAAAAUAUGGUUGACAAUGGCGACGCCGCUGGGGUUGUUGGGGACGAAAUCAUUCCCCUAUCAUUAUCAGAUCUUUCACUACUAGAACAACAACUAUUCCUUUGCUUCUCUACUGAUUUGACGGGCACGUAUGCUUUUCUACAAACCGGCUUUCUUGGGGUCCUAGGCUUCUUUUUUAUAGUUCGUCGAAAACAAUCGACCAAAGAUUUGGAACUUUGGUCGUUGUAAAAACUAUUGGGUGGUCUUCCACGACUACGGCGGCGGCAUUCGUCGUUGGAGGAAUUCUUUGGCGAUCUCCCUCGACCACGGUGGCUUGUCAUGAUAGUGAAUGGAUUUGUUUCUUAAUUGAAACAAAAUUUAUCUUAUUUAAUUUAUUAUUAUUAUUUUUAUUUUGGAAGAAAGGAUAGUGAAUUAGAUCCUUCAACGGAGAAUACAUGAGUUAAUCAAUAAACCAAUUGUAUUUAUACUAUCAACUGUUCAUCAAAUCAUAAUCUAACAUGGAUAAGGAUUUCCUUCACUUCUUUCCUUUGACUUGUUUGGCAAGGAUAUUAUCGGUACUCUCCUUUGACUUGUUUACCAAGGAUCUUAUGAAGUCAUCCAAUUACCAAAUUAUAACACAAAACAUAAAAAGAUACGACAAAACAUAUUAUUUACAAUUAAAGGUGUCUAUAAUUGGGCCGGAUUGAAUUUAGAUUAAAUUUAUGUUUAAUAUUAAUAAUUUAUAUGUUUAUUUGAAUUCAAUUCAAUUUAAUAUUUUGAAUUUUUUAAGUUCAAUCAAAAUAAAAAAAUAAACCAUAAGUUUAUCUAUUAAAUUUAAUUUAUAUAAUAAAAAUUUUAAAAAAUCUUUAAAAUAAAUACAAAAAAAUCUUUAAAAUAAAUACAAAAAAUAAAAAUUUACAUAUAUAUACUUACAUAAUUAUAAUAUUUUAAUUAUAUAUAAUUUAUUUAUAUUGAGUUAAAUCAAAUUCAAAUUUUAAUUUUUUUUAUCCAAAAUUCGAUCCGAAAUUUAAAUAAAUUUAAAAAUUACAUUUAAACAUGUUUAAUGAGCUUUAAUUUCUUAUCUAAACUCUCUUAAAAUUUAAAUGAACAUUUGAACUUUAAUUAAAUAAUCUGAUACUUGAACAAAUUUACGUACAACUAUUUAUAAUUAUUGUAAUAUAAUUGCUUAAAACUUACACAUUUAAAUGGUAAUCUUUUACAUAAAUAUUUGUUGUAAUUGACAAAUUACAUGAUUAUAGUUAAAAUAAUUGCAAAUAAAAUGCUUCCUAACAAAUACAUCAAUAGAACAAUCCAUAUUUUAUCAUUUGCAUUACCGUAAGAAACAAAAAUGCACUACAAUUUUUUACUAAUUGGAAACUACACUACAAUUAGCGAAUGAAGCGAGAACGGUUCUAGGGAUCUUCAACUUGCAGAUGGAGGUGAGGGAGGGGGUGGCAUUGACAUUUGCGGCAAAGGAUUCUUCCACCCAUUUGCUGCUGUGGUGUUGGUGCUGGGGGCCAAACAUGUGGUGCUCUCAUUCCCAUCGGUGGGGAAUAACUUGAAAGAGCAGACGUUGCCAUUGGAGGUGGUGGCGGUGGCAUGUUUGGCAGAGGUGGUCUGAACCGCAUAGGCGGAGGCAUGAUUGAGGUGGAAUUGGUUGUCCAAUAUGAUGCUGUGGUUGACCCUGCCAAGCUGCUUGUCCGGCAUGCAGCACUGUUGGGAAGGGUACACUGAGGUAGUGGAGGACAAACUACUGGCAUCGGGCCAGGAGGAACGGUACCAUUUGGAAAAGGUCGUGGAGGCACUAGUGCACCCAUAGCACCGUCAGCCUGGGGACCAGAUGGAGUGUUAGAGGUCCGCCCGCAAAUAAAGUAUGGGGCCUGCUCUUCGGGGAAUUUGGGUUGCUUGCAGCCAAAACCCUCUCUGUAUCACAAGAAAAAUGUUUCAAAACUACAUGCCAAUCUAUAUGAAAAAGAAAACCGAUAUAAAAAUAGUAAUAAAAUAGAACAAAGGGGUAAGGUGAGGAUGGGGGUGAAAAAAGUAAAAACGCACCUGCUGGGGUGACUUGGCGCUCCCCUUUCGUGUCUUAUAUGCAUAAGAAACCGUUAUUUGACAGUUACAGAGGAAUUGGCCAUUCAUUGCCUGUAACAUCAAAGAGAAAAAGUAAACAUAUUUUGCAGGAUAGAAGAAACCAAAUCAAUGGUAUUUACUGUCACAUCACAUUCCAUGGAAGCAGUGGCGACAACAAUAACAAAUGCCAUUACAAUUAGCAAAUAACUUUGUGAAUAAUUUCAAGUUCUUCCCGACUGUUAAAACCUAACACCAAGAAACAAACUAACACUGAGAUGUUAAAAGUGGAAAAAUAUUACAAAUCCCAAUUUGACUUAACAUGAAGCUUUUUACAAAUGAAGCCAGAUUGUCAAUAAUUAUGUUAAUCUGAAAUUUGCAAUAACUCCAGAACAAUAAAAUCAAGGUUUCAUCCAAAUGUUCUCAUGAUGGAAUCUUACAAAUAGUUCAAACAUAUGUAAGUGGCAGUGCAGACAUUCCUCAAUAGCUGCGUCAGAUGCCUUAAAUGAAUCAUAGCUGAUGAAUCCAAAACCACGUGAAUUUCCCGACUCAGGAUCUCUCAUUGUCUGAUGUCAGAAAGUGGUGAACAUCAGAACUCACUAGAAAAGUGGAGAAUAAAUAAAAUGUUGAAAAAUAAUUAACUAUCUUAUUCACUUUUUGAACCCACUAUCGAUGCCUUUCAAGAGAUGAGCAGAAUGAGACUACGACUCACUAUUAGUUUUCGUAUCAUUCAGUUCUCCUGAAACCAAAAUAAGGCAGAUAAGCAUUCCAAUCCUCCAAUAGACCAUGUCAUUGCAUGACCAUGCGAAUAUAUUCAAAACCAACACUAACUUAUGAAAUCUGGUUGCCUACUCAGUCAAUCUCACUGGUUUCAACUUCAUCUCAACAUCAAUCACGAAUAAAAAUUAUGAUGGCAAGGGCUUUGGCUCAACCCUUCAUCUACAAGAUUCACCACUGUUUUAACACUGGUGCAAUGGUUGAUUAAUUACAUAUGACAUCAAGAAGCAGCAGAGCAUUGAAAGCUAAACAAGCAAACGAAGACAUGUAGACAUGCACUUUCAUAUAUGGAAAAAGCAGAACUCAUUAAUCUAUGGCAUACCAUCAUAUAAAAUGAAGCAAAAGAAAUUCGAAAGUCAGUACCUUGAGCCCAAAUGCACUAAAAGUAUCUGACAAAAGUUUCUCAUCCACAUUCUGCAAGUAUAACCAGAUAAUCACAAAGUUAAAACAGGAAAUCUAGCAAUUGAUGACAUCUCUACACUUCUAAUUAAGGAAAAAGGCAGAAGAGAAAGGAAAUUAGCGAGAACCUGAGGACCGAGAUUGCCGACAUAAGCAAUGGCGUCUUGGUUCCUCUCAGCGGAAUGUUGAUCAAGCAAGUUCGCUCCAACUACUGAAGCGAUUCGCGUAGUCAUUAGCUUGGCUUUACUGUUCUUCCCUUUUCUUCUUCGAUUCUUUGCUAAAACACUGAUUACGCUCCUUCGCGUUUUCUGGAGAUUUCUGGCGUAGAAGAUGAAUUACAAACAAGGUUCAAGUGACGAGUGGAGUUCGGCGGUGGCCUACGUUGGCCCAAAUUUAAGAUUCUGAAUAUUUUGCCAAGUUGGCCCAUUUAUUUUAUAACGGACUUCUCCAAUCCACAAAGUUGGCCUGGCUAAUACGAAUACUAGAAGGACGGUAGAGUAACAGGCUGUCUGGUUAUGAACAUUGAGGCUUAGUUACUAGCCAGUGGGUUUUUCUGUUUUCUUUUACAUGGGUCAUUGGCCCAUGUGCAGUUUUUAUCAUGGGUAAAACAACUGACAGUCCUAAAACUGCACUAGCAGUGCAUUAUUAGUAAAAAAUAUAAUAAUCUCCUGCUGAAAGUUGAGUUUUCCCCUGCCCUCAUAGCAAAAAGAAACGAAAAAAGUGAUCUAUUCAAAUCAUAAAUAGUAAGACCAACAUAUUAAAUGAUUUUGCUUAGUUGUUGCUUUACUUUCCGGUGGGGCCAGCCAAAUCGUAAAACAUUCGUCCUCGAGCAUUACUAACUUCGGAAUUUACCCAAGCUUCAAUUAUUUUUCUUCUCAAAAUCUUAAAGAUGGAUCCAACACUAGCGGUGUUGUUUCAUGAACCUGGCAAAGUCAGCAAACCAAAUGCACCUCACAAACCUGGCUUUUAAGUGCAAAAUAAACAAACAUUAGAUUGAUAUAUUAAAAUCAUCUAUGUCCAUCUGAUGUUCUGCUCGCUUUCAUUAAUAAAAUUCCUCAUAAACCAUCUAUAUCUUAACUCUAGGCGUAAACAUGGAAUCAGCACAAGUAUAAUGCAUAGCAGAGAUGACAUUAGGCAUCGUACUCCCCCUGUGCAAACUUGUUCUCUGGAUAGAAGACGGCAAUAACUUGAUUUUCACCAAAUUUCCGUCCAUUCAUUGCAGCUUGGGCUUUUCAAGAACCUUCAACGUCUGAGUACUCCAUAAAUACCUGCUAAUAUCAAAGAAUUACAGUCUGUAAUUGGGGGGAAUUCAUAUAUGCAACUAGCAGAAACAUCCAGCAAUGCAUGUUAACCAAAACAAUAGAAUCAUCAUGAAUAUAAACAUUGUAGAAAAAAUGACCUUCCCGACACCUGGUGAUGAUUCACCAUUUGGUUUUGGGCGGGGGAUGACAACAUUCACCGAUGCACCUGCACAUUACGUGUGAAAAUUUCGAAUCCACAGAAAACUUUAUUCAAAGAAUUAGUUAAGAGAAAACAGUAUGAAGAAAAUACUGAUAAAGGGUUAUGGAGUCUUGUGUCUAUGUAUGUUAAACUUGAUUCUUUAUUGCAGAAAGUGGAACUAGAAAGGGCUGUAAAACAGAGAUAUAAACACAAAAAAAAAAAAUGUAAUAAAAUAUACAAGGGACUUAGCAUGUUAUAAAGGAGGGCCAAAUACAAAAUUGAUGCACCAAAAAGUUUAAAGAGUUUUGCCAUGUUUUCCACCCUCUUGUCUCAUGUCCUCAACGAUGUAGUCAUACUACUCGUCAUCUCUAAGAUCAUCUUCA